Molecule: long non-coding RNA, 83143 nt
Filed under: Triticum aestivum (bread wheat)
Lineage: Eukaryota; Viridiplantae; Streptophyta; Magnoliopsida; Poales; Poaceae
Description: long non-coding RNA (TAES_LNC025307)
Source: RNAcentral
UUUUUUGAAUAGGUAGAGUUUUGUUCAAGGUUGCUUUUUUUUUCCUUUUGAUUCCAAUAGAGCACAUAACACAAACAUAACACAAUUUAUUAUUGUCUGAUUUGGUCAUUUUUGGUACAGCUCUAGACAGCAUUAGUUUAGUUAUCAUUUAAUAUAUUGCAAGUGAUGUUUGGAAAAUUCCACACCCCCAUUCUUAAGUUUCCAGUGGCAAUUUAUCUAAGAUGCUCUCUUCAUGCUUUUACAAUUGUGGACUGUAUCCACCAACUAAAUGAUUCAUGGUAUAUGAAUGUUUGUUCCAUUGCACAAAAUUCAUUUGUCUACAACAAGUGAGCAUCAUACAUAGCUAUCCCAAGUAAGUUUUUAAGUUUUUCUUACUGAGUUAGGAGUAUAGCAGGUUAGAAUAUUAUUAUAGUUCAAUGUUGUUUAUUCAUAAAUGUUCCAUCCUUUUAUAGUAUGCUAAGGGGUUUACAACUUCGUUAGAUCGAUGUCUUGAUAAAUCUUUUUUACAUUAGUUGUCUACACAACAUGACUCUUCAUAGUCUUACUCAACCCUUUGCCAGUUUAUAAUUUGUGUUGUGCUCUAUAGAUAUGCUCAACAAAAGAUACAAAUUUCCGCAGCAAUGCAUGGGAUAUCUACUAGUUUCAUAAUAUAAUACCAGCAUUUUUGACACUGUAGGUAGUACGUACUUCCAAUCCGUACUACUCACUCCGUUCGAUAAUGUAAGACGUUUUUUAACAUUAUAUUAGUGUCAAAAAAUGCUUUAUAUUAUGAGACGGAGGAAGUACUUCCUACCGAACGGAUCAUAUUAUUUUCUGUGAGUAUUGUAAAAUCCAAAUACAAUACGUCCACUCAGAAGCAACAACGGCUCGCCGGUUUGCCUGAAACGCUCGGCGUCAGUCACACGAAAAAAUUAGUAAAUCCAAAUGGCUCAUGCGAUGCAACCCAAAUGAAGACAGGGACUCGUCGAGCGCAAGACUACAAAGGAAGACGUUCCGCUCGCUCACUGACCAGCCCCACGCUUGGGCCACAUAUCUCCACGGCCGGAGCUGGAGCUGCAGCUCACCACACUCCCUCCUCCAUCCCCAGUCCACACCAAGGCGUGAGCGUGAGCUCGAAGCCAUGGCGGCCGUGGGGACGCCGCAGGAACCGUACGCGCCCAAGCCGGCGGCCGAGGGGAGGGGCUACUGGCGGUGGCACAGGGACGAUUUCUUCCCGGAGCCGUCGUUCGCGAGCUGGGGCGCGUACCGCUCCGCGCUGGCCGCGACCCCCGCGAGGCUCCGCGACCGCUUCACCGGCCGCUCCACCGACGCCAUCGAGCUCGGCGCGCUGCGGCGCCGCAGCGAGAACGAGAUGCGCCGCUGCCUCACGUGGUGGGACCUCACGUGGUUCGGCUUCGGCUCCGUCAUCGGCGCCGGGAUCUUCGUGCUCACCGGCCAGGAGGCGCACGACCACGCCGGCCCCGCCAUCGUGCUCUCCUACAUCGUCUCUGGCCUCUCCGCUAUGCUGUCCGUGUUCUGCUACACCGAGUUCGCCGUCGAGAUCCCCGUGGCCGGCGGCUCCUUCGCGUACCUCCGCGUCGAGCUCGGCGACGUCGCGGCCUUCAUCGCCGCCGCGAACCUUAUCCUCGAGAGCAUCAUCGGCACGGCCGCGGUGGCGCGCUCCUGGACGUCCUACUUCGCGUCGCUCAUCAACAAGCCGGCGAGCGCGCUGCGCAUACAGACCUCGCUCAAAGACGGGUACAACGAGCUUGACCCCAUCGCGGUCGUGGUGAUCGCGGUCACCGCCACCAUGGCCAUCCUGAGCGCCAAGGGCACUUCCCGGAUCAACUGGGUGGCGUCCGCGAUACACGUGGUCGUGAUAGCGUUCGUCAUCGUGGCAGGAUUCAUCCACGCCAACCCGAGCAACCUGACCCCGUUCAUGCCGCACGGCGUGCCGGGCGUGUUCCAGGCGGCGGCGAUCGUGUACUUCGCCUACGGCGGCUUCGACAACAUCGCGACGAUGGCGGAGGAGGUGAAGAACCCGUCGAGGGACAUACCGCUGGGGCUGCUGGGGUCCAUGUCGGUGAUCACGGUGAUCUACUGCGUGAUGGCGCUGGUGCUGAGCAUGAUGCAGCCGUACACGGCGAUCGACCGGAGCGCCGCCUACUCGGUGGCGUUCAGCAGCGUGGGGAUGCACUGGGCGCAGUACGUGGUGGCGCUGGGCGCGCUCAAGGGGAUGACGACGGUGAUGCUGGUGGGCGCGCUGGGGCAGGCGCGGUACACGACGCACAUCGCGCGGAGCCACAUCAUCCCGCCGGUGUUCGCGCUGGUGCACCCCAGGACCGGCACGCCGGUGAACGCCAACAUACUCAUCGCCGCCGCGGCCUGCUGCAUCGGCUUCUUCUCCAGCCUCGACGUGCUCUCCAGCCUGCUCUCCAUCAGCACGCUCUUCAUCUUCAUGAUGAUGGCCAUCGCGCUCCUGGUCCGGCGGUACUACGUGAAGGGCGUGACGACGCGGUCGCACGCGCUGCGGCUCCUGGUGUUCGUGCUGGUGAUCAUCGCCUCGUCGGCGGGCAUCGCGGCGUACUGGGGCACGACGCCCGGCCGGUGGGAGGGUUACGUCGCGCUGGUGCCGGCGUGGCUGCUGGGGACGCUCGGCAUCCAGAUGAUGGUGCCGGCGGCGCGCGCGCCCAAGGUGUGGGGGGUGCCGCUCGUGCCCUGGCUGCCCUCGCUCUCCAUCGCCACCAACCUGUUCCUCAUGGGCUCGCUCGGCUCGGAUGCCUUCGUCCGCUUCGGCGCCUGUACCGCCAUCAUGCUCAUCUACUACGUCCUCGUCGGCCUGCACGCCACCUACGACGUCGCCCACGAUGUGUGCAGCGAAGACGAGCUAAAAGACUACGGCGACGCCGCUGAUGAUGCUGCUGAUGAGAAGGCGACGGCGAAAACGGCCGACGUCGAGAGGGCUAGCGCGGGAGACGGCGGCCGCUAAAGAUGAUCCGGAGUCGGCCAGACGGUAGUCAGUAGUCGCUGCUUGACUAUACGCUGUCUGAAAACUUGUAAUUCGUACCAUCAAAUGAAUCUUUAUCUUCACACGAUUGUAAUCUACACAUUCGCAGUCUUGAUCUUUUGUUUUGUAAUGUACAUGUAUGCGUGCUGGUGACCAGUCAGUACACUUUGACAUCACUGUCUCAAAACUUGUUACUUAUGCUACAUAUAAGAAUUUUGUUACUACGUGCAAUAUAUGGAUAAUCCUACACCUACAAAGUGACUACGAAGGCCUAUCUAAAUUUCCAAACUAUAAACCUCUCGGCUCCCUUGAUUUUAAUGAGGGUGGGCACCCCCUAUCGAUUCAAUAAAGAUUUUACACAGGUCUAGCAUUGUCUGCAAUAUAUUUAGAAAGAGAAUGGUUUUUAAUAACUCACGACCUCAGAAGCCAUGGGUGUCUGUUGUCUACUCCCCUGGUAUACUCCCAUCUCGUGCUCCUCUUGACUUCAAGGGCCGAGACAAAUUUACGGGUGGCCCCGUCCACACCGACCCUUUCUUUUCGUCUCUCUUUUCACAACUCCCACUUAAUCAAUAGGAGCAUGGUGUCUAUUUAUACUCCAAUGAAGUCCAAUACCUAAUGCCAAAUAAUUUAAUCUUAGCCAUUGGACGAGAGGGGAGCAUGGAUGAGAGUAUUCCGGAAGAGCAGGCAAGCCACAUCCAGGUGAAACCGGGCCUGGAGCUACAACUUAGGGGUUUCCAAUGUCUAAGAACAAGGAUCACAACAACAUCUCAAACAAAUUAUCUUAACAUGUACAAGAGAGAAUAUUAGGGGGGUCGUUUCACCUCUCUAGUAGUUUUGUCAAAACUCAUACCCAAUAUCUCAUUUUUGCCUAUAUCUCUUCCUACACACUUUGAAUAAACUUUACAUUUCAUAACAAGAUAAUCAAACAUGUAUGAUCAUAUCACACACAAUUUUAACACCUUUCAAAUUCACAAAUUAGGAAAGCAAAUUCAAAAUCAAACAUAACGGCUUGAGCAUAGUUCACUCAUCAUGCACUGUCAUUGCCACUCAUGUCACUUGAGCCACCAUUCCACUAAAAGCUCCCAUGGACACCCCUCCCUUCCCGGUACCAGCCUAUUCUCCUAGACACAAGACUUGCUCAUUCGUAGCCUUAGAAUAGGCUCUUCCCAUAUGAAGGCCAUUUGGAUUCAUGAAUAUGAGCUUUCACUCUUGCUUGUUCCUCAACAUUCUCUACUCAAUUGCAGUCCAAUGCUCCGCCAUGGCCACCCUUCACUCCUUAGAGGCAAACCGACACUCCUGUAAUUCCUUGAGCUUGUUACAUCUUGUUCCAUCUUGUGAUUUCUCUUCUUUCUUCUCCACAACACACUCCAUUCGUUUGCCACCAUGCUGGGAGAGUUGGAGUUGUCCGACUCGCCUUUUUGUGGCAAGCGCUUCAUUAUUCCUUGUUUUUAUUUAAGAUCUGUGAGCUUGAUGAGACUUCAUUCAGUAACAGAGCACGCUUCUUUGACUUGGUAGGUGAAGAUUUGAACACAAGCUUAGUGAGGUGCUCAACUGUGCGGUCGUCGAGUGUGUGAGCCAGCAUAUGCGACAGCUUGGUAGGCUCAAUGUCCAGGGACGAUGUGGUGAACUUCACCAGUGCGUCAGGGUCCGGGCGCCAUGAGUCAAGCGUCGCUUUCUCAUAGGCAUCAUGGCCAGUGCCGCCGAUAACAUGACCAGACUGUUGCACCAUCUUCAUGGCUAGCCAUAAGUCCACAUUGGCCAUGAGAAGGUGCCAAAGAGCACCAUGCUCCGUGAGAGAGCUGAAGCAAGCACACAGGAAGGCGACCAUGCCAUAGAGGGAGCAGCACUCAAUGCACGUAAGGGUCCUAGUGCAUAACUGCAUACCAUGUCCACCUGAAAGUCGAGCUCGAAGUCUGGGUGCGUGGGGAACGUAGUGCCAUACCAAAUGGUGUUGAGGAUGAUGUUCGAGACGGGAUCCAUGGGGCCAUAGCAGUAGCCGCCCUUGAUGAGGCUGCAAUGGUGGAGCUUGCGCAAGCCGUCCCGAGGCAGCCGGGCAAGUGCCUCUAGGUACAGACCAUGGAUCUGUUUGUUUUUUGAAAAGGAGGCUUACCUUCGGUCUCUGCAUCAAUCGAUGCAUGCAGCCAUAUUAUUAAAAUCAAAACAAGGUCUUAAGUUCCAUGGAAACUCAAAAUCUGAGUAAGAAAGAUAAACAAGUCUGUAAAACGCCACACCCGGCGAGAAUGUGCCACAUCCGGCUAUAAAAAAUAGGCUACGAUGCCUACACACCUAGCCUAUUAUUAGCUCGCCAUCCAAAUUGGCUGAAGAUAGCCCGUGCUAUCGUCUCCCAUCGGCUGCACCCAAUAACCAUAAUCUCCCUGUAGUCUGCAUGAGUGAGUAACAACCACAUACGGAUCCAGGUUGUAGCUUUAUAGAUAACCUGCAAAAAAUUAGUGAAUUUUGUCCCAUUAAAAAUCAUAUCAUUUCGAGUGCAUAUAGCCCAUAAUAGUGCACAUAUUCCUAUCCGAAUAUGUUUAGCUGUGUGUAUGUCUACUCCAUUAAGCCACAUCCCAAAUAACGUGUUGAUACUCAUUGGAGGAUUAACGUUAAAAGCUAUAUGAAUGAAUCGCUAUAACAAUUUUGCAAGUGGACAUUCGAGAAAGAUGUGUUUAACUGUCUCGUUUUGAUCACAAAAACAACAUCUAGAUUGACCGACCUAAUUCCUUUUCAUCAAAUUAUCUUUGGUCAAGAUGACUCCUUAGUGGAAAAACCAUGUAAAUAUCUUGAUGCGGAGUGAAACUUUAAUCUUUCAUAUGUGCAAAGACCUCGACAAUGACCCGGAAUCAAUUAAGUCCAAAUACAUGGAUUUGACACAGAAUACUCCAUUCGUGGUUAACUUCCAACUAAUUGUAUCCGCCUGAUCUGAAAGUUGAACAUCCAUCAGCCUACGUACCAGGUGUAACCAAGCAUUCCAACGUUCCCCUACAAGAGAUCUCCUAAAUUGGGUAUUAAGUGGUACUGAGUUUAAUACUGUGGCGACAUAAUCUUCCUUACAUUGCACCAUAUUAUAUAGGGAGGGGUAUUGUAAGGUCAGGGGCGUCUCCCUAGCCAAGUGUCCUCCCAGAACCUAGUAGAAGUACCACAACCAAUUAGGAACUUCACCCGCUGGAACAAAGUUACUUUCGUCUUCAUUAACCCUUUCCAAAAGGGUGAGUCUGUUGGUCUUGCAUCACCUGGGCCUAAGUCUUAGUAUGUAGAUAUUUAUUCCACAAGAUUUGUACCCACAUGCCUUUGGUCUCCGUUGAUAAUCUGUAUAACCAUUUUCUAAGUAAACUUCUAUUCUUUACCUUUAAAUUCUUGGUCUCUAACCCACCCUAGUCUUUGGGUCUACACAUAAUAUCCCAUCUAGCCAGUCUAUAUUUUUUCUUGGCCUCAUCGCUUUGCCAGAAGAAACGGGAUCUGUAAAAGUCCAAUCUUUUCCGUACCCCUACCGGUACUUCAAAGAAAGAUAGGAGGAACAUUAGAAAACUCGUCCGUAAGACAUGAGCUAAUCAACACCAACCUUCCUCCGUAAGACAUGAGCUUGCCCUUCCAGUAGCUCAAUUAUUUUUCAAAUCUAUCUUCUAUAUAUUUCCAUUCUUUGUUCGUUAACCGUUUAUGGUGAAUUGGGAUCCCUAGAUAACUAAAUGGUAGGGAUCCCAUUUCACAACCAAAUAAGUUGUUGUAAUUAUCCUGUUCUUCUUUAGCUCUCCCAAAGUAGAACCGUUCUCUUUUAUUGAAAUUGAUUUUGAGCCCGGAUAUUUGCUCGAAAAGGCAUAAAAUAAGCUUCAUAUUCCUAGCUUUUGCAAGAUCGUGUUCCAUGAAAAUAAUAGUAUCGUCCGCGUAUUGUAAGACGGAGACGCCCGCCCUCUACAAGAUGGGGAACGAGACCUCCUACUUGGCCGCUCUCUUUAGCCCGACUAAUAAGUACUGCCAACACCAACAUAUCCGCUAUGAUAUUAAACAACACAGGAGACUGAUGUCGCUUGAAGCUACGACGGUUUUUUCACUAAAGAGGAAGGGAUGAUGCAGCAUAGCGGCGGUAGGUAUUUCCCUCAGAUAUGAAACCAAGGUUAUCGAACCAGUAGGAGAAUCAAGCAACACAAUGUAAACAACCCCUACACACAAAUAACAACCACUCGCAACCCGACGUGUUAAAGGGGUUGUCAAUCCCUUUCGGGUAACGACACUAGAAAUGGCGUGUGGACGGGAGAGAGUUGUAAAUAUUGAUAGAUCGAACGCCAAAUAAAAUAAAUUGCAAAAAGGUAUUUUUGGGUUUUUGGUCUAAUAGAUCUGAAAAUAAAAGCAAAUAAAAAUAGACCGCGAAGGCAAAUAAUAUGAGAAAGAGACCCGGGGGCCGUAAGUUUCACUAGUGGCUUCUCUCGAGAAAAAUAGCAAACGGUGGGUAAACAAAUUACUGUUGAGCAAUUGAUAGAACCUCAAAUAAUUAUGACGAUAUCCAGGAAAUGAUCAUUACAUAGGCAUCACGUCCAAGAUUAGUAGACCGACUCCUGCCUGCAUCUACUACUAUUACUCCACACAUCGACCGCUAUCCAGCAUGCAUCUAGUGUAUUAAGUUCAUGGAAAAACGGAGUAAUGCAAUAAGAACGAUGAAAUGAUGUAGACGAGAUCCGUUUAUCUAUGGAGGUAGAUAUAGAUCCCAUCUAUUUAUCCUUAGUAGCAACGAUACAUACGUGUCGGUUCCCUUUCUGUCACUAGGAUUAAGCACCAUAAGAUCGAACCCACUACCGGGCACCUCUACCCAUUGCAAGAUAAAUAGAUCAAGUUUGCUAGAUAAAAACCAAAUAUCAGAGAAGAAAUACGAGUCUAUAAGAGAUCAUGCAUAAAAGAGAUCAAAGAAACUCAAAUACUUUCAUGGAUAUAAAAAGAUAGAUCUGAUCAUAAACUCAAAGUUCAUUGAUCCCAACAAACACACUGCAAAAGAGUUACAUCAUAUGGAUCUCCAAGAGACCAUUGUAUUGAGAAUCAAGAGAGAGAGAUGAAGCCAUCUAGCUACUAACUACGGACCCGAAGGUCUACAAAGAACUAUGCACGCAUCAUCGGAGAGGCACCAAUGGAAGUGGUGAACCCCUCCGUGAUGGUAUCUAGAUUGGAUCUGGUGGUUCUGGACUCUGCGGUGACUAGAUGAAUAUUUUGUCGACUCCCCUAGGGUUUUGGCAAUAUUGGGGUAUUUAUAGAGCAAAGAGGCGGUCCGGGGGGCACCCGAGGUGGGCACAACCCACCAGGGUGCGCCUGGGGUUGUGCCCCCCUCGGGGUACCCCCAGGCGCAGCCAGGGUCCGUUGUGUUCCUUUUGGCCCAUAAAAAUUCUCCGUAAAGUCUCGUGGCAUUUGGACUCCGUUUGAUAUUGAUUUUCUGCGAUGUAAAAACACGGAAAAAACAGGAACUGGCACUUGGCACUAUGUCAAUAGGUUAGUACCAAAAAAAUGAUAUAAAAUGACUAUAAAAUGAUUAUAAAACAUCCAAGAUUGAUAAUAUAACAGCAUGGAACAAUCAAAAAAUAUAGAUAUGUUGGAUACAUAUCAGCAUCCCCAAGCUUAACUCCUACUCGUCCUCGAGUAGGUAAGUGAUAAAAACAGAAUUUUUGAUGUGGAGUGCUGUUCAUCAUGUCAUAUUAUAUUCUUUUCUUUAUAGCAUGGACAUUUGGACUUUUAUGUGAUUCAAAGCAAGUAUAGUUUUGACAUAAUAGUUUAGAUACUCAAGCAUAUCAACAAGCAACCACGUCUUUCAAAAUAUCAAUGCUAAAAUAAGUUAUCCCUAGCCCAUGAUGCUCAAACAUUGAUCCAUUCAUGAAACACACUCGAAUAUUAGCUACACCCAAUACUUAAGUACAAUCAUAUUGCCUCCUAGUUUGUCAUGGAAGUAUCAUGGCAGAUGUCCUCAUGGAAGGACUUAGUUAUGGAGCCAUUGCGACGAGGUUAGCUUAAAGGGGUCAAACGGGACAAAGGACACAGAGAGUUUAUACUGGUUCGGCCCCUUGCGAUGAAGGCAAAGGCUUACUCCAGUUGAGGUGGUAUUGCUAGGGUUUCGAUUACCAGGGAGCAAACACGCUUUGCAUGGCUCUCGAUUUGAUGUUUCUUGCCCUAAGCCGCUGUCGGGUCGUCCCCUUAUAUAAACAAGUUGAUGCCCUGUGGCCUACAGAGUCCCGGCCGGCUCAUACAAUUUGUACGGCUCGGUGACGUAUCUUACAUGCCUUAUAUUACAAGUCUACUCAUACAUGGCGGUUUACAUUUACGGGCCUUAAGCCGUCUCUAGGCUUGGGCCUCCUACCGGCCUAUCUAUGAAUCGCCGUCUGGUAUAUUCUUGGCCUUCAUGGAUGAACCACCAUUGUGGUUGACCCGACCCCUCCUGGGCGGGUCAUACCUGAUAGUCAUAUCCCCAACAUAGUUGGUGCUUUUUGUAAGAGAAGAUGGAGACUUAAAAUAAAAAUUGCAUAAAGUAAAAGAUAGGCCCUUCGCAGAGGGAAGUAGGGAUUUGUAGAGGUGUCAGAGCUCAAAGCGAAAAAUUUAGAGAUGAAAACAUUUUGAGAGGUGUAUCCAUCCCACCAACGAAAACGACUUAGAGUUCCCAAUACUUUCCAUGCAUUAUCAUAGGCGGUUCCCAAACAGAAAAUAAAGUGUAUUCCUUUUUCCACCAUAACUUUCACUUUCCAUGGCUAACCGUAUCCACGGGUGCCCUCCAUACCAACACUUUCUAAGAAAUUUAUUAUUUGACAACAUAAAGUAAAUUUAUUUGUUUUUGCAUUUCGGGACUGGGCAUCCCUAAUACCUUUGCCUUACUCUCGUGCAAUGACAAGUGAAUAAACACUCAUCUUGGGAAUAACACAUCUAGCAUGGAAAAUAUUAGCCACCCCUCACUGCUUCGUGAGCGAAACAAACACACAAUAGAGAAGUUUAUUUUGAAAAUUAGAGAUGGCACAUGCAAAUUUGCUUAGAAUGGGAAAAGAAUACCACAUAUAGGUAGAUAUAGUGGACUCAUGUGGCAAAACUGGUUUAAAGGAUUUUGGAUGCACAAGUAGUGAUCAUACUUAGUGCAAAACGAAGGCUAGCAAAAGAACGAAUAAUCUCAUAAGCAAGCAUUAAGCAUAAUUAACACCGAAUAAUGCACCAUAAGUAGGAUAUAAUUUCAUUGCAUGAUUAUUGACUUUCGUGCAUGCAUAGGGAAUCACAAACCUUAACACCAAUAUUCUUACUAAAGCAUAAUUACUCAUCAAGAUGACUCACAUAUCACAUCAUCAUAUCUCAAAACUAUUACUAAGAAUCAAGUUUAUUUUUCCAAUGAUCUUCAUGACAUUUUUUUCUUUUAUUUAUCCUUCUUGGAUAUCUAUCACUUUGGGACUAAUUUUCAUGUGUUCCUUUUCAUAAGCUCAAACAAAUAUAAGUGAAGAUCAUGAGCAUAACAAAUUUUCUUUCUCUUAGAAUAAUUUAAGUGAAGCAAAAGAGAAUUUCUUAAAAAAUUUACUAACUCUCAAAUAAAUCUAAGUCAAGCAAGAGAGCAUUUCUUAAAAAAUAACAAAGCACACCGUGCUCAAAAAGAUCUAAGUGAAGCACUAGAGCAAGUCCAUUGCUCAUAAAAGAUUUAAGUGAAGCAUAUAGAGCAAUUCUAACAAGUCAUGACAUAAUUUUGGCUCUCUCAAAUACAUGUGUCCAGCAAGGAUUGAUGACUUAAAACACAAAACAAAACAAGCAAAGACACAUAUCAUACAAGACGCUCCAAGCAAAACACAUAUCAUGUGGCGGAUAAAAAUAUAGUCUCGAGUAAAAUACCGAUAGUUGUUGGAAGAAAGCGGGGAUGCCACUCGGGGGCUUCCCCAAGCUUAGUUGGUUGCUCAUUCUUGGAUAAUAGCUUGGGAUGCCGAGGCAUCCUAAUGACCCACAAGUAUAGGGGAUCUAUCAUAGUCCUUUCUAUAAGUAAGAGUGUCAAACCCAACGAGGAGCAGAAGGAAAUGAUAAGCAGUUUUCAGUAAGGUAUUCUCUGCAAGCAUUGAAAUUAUCAGUAACAGAUAGUUUUGUGAUAAGGUAAUUUGUAACGGGUAACAAGUAAUGAAAGUGAAUAAGGUGAAGCAAGAUGGCCCAAUCCUUUUUGUAGCAAAGGACAAGCCUGGACAAACUCUUAUAUAAAGGAAAACGCUCCCGGGGACACGUGGGAAUUAUCGUCAAGCUAGUUUUCAUCACGUUCAUAUGAUUCGCGUUCGGUACUUUGAUAAUUUGAUAUGUGGGUGGACCGGUGCUUGGGUACUUCCCUUCCUUGGUCAAGCAUCCCACUUAUGAUUAACUCCUAUUGCAAUCAUCCUCAACUACAACAGAAGUAUUAAGGUAAACCUAACCAUAGUAUGAAACAUAUGGAUCCAAAUCAGCCCCUUACGAAGCAACGCAUAAACUAGGGUUUAAGCUUCUGUCACUCUAGCAACCCAUCAUCUACUUAUUACUUCCCAAUGCCUUCACCUAGGCCCAAACAAUGGUGAAGUGUCAUGUAGUCGAUGUUCACAUGACACCACUAGAGGAAAGACAACAUACAUCUCAUCAAAAUAUCAAACGAAUACCAAAUUCACAUGACUACUUAUAGCAAGACUUCUCCCAUGUCCUCAGGAACAAACAUAACUACUCACAAAUCAUAUUCAUGUUCAUAAUCAGAGGGGUAUUAAUAUGCAUAAUGGAUCUAAACAUAUGAUCUUCCACCAAGUAAACCAACUAGCAUCAACUACAAGGAGUAAUCAACACUACUAGCAACCCACAGGUACCAAUCUGAGGUUUUGAGACAAAGAUUGGAUACAAGAGAUGAACUAGGGUUUGAGAUAAGAUGGUGUUGGUGAAGAUGUUGAUAGAGAUUGACCCCCUCCCGAUAAGAGGAUCGAUGGUGAUGACUUCCCCCUCCCAGAGGGAAGUUUCCCCGGCAUAACAGCUCCGCCGGAGCCCUAGAAUGGUUCCGUCAAGGUUCCGCCUCAUGGCAGCGGAGUUUCGUCCCGUGAGCUUGCUUAUGAUUUUUCCUGGACGAAAAACUCCAUAUAGCCAAAGAUGGGCAUCAGAGGGCUGCCAGGGGGCCCAUGAGGCAGGGGGCGCGCCCAGAGGGGUAGGGCGCGUCCCCCACCCUCAUGGAUGGUGGGUGGCCCCCUCUGGUACUUCUUUCGCCCAAUAUUUUCUAUAUAUUCUGAAACGUGCUCCCGUGAAGUUUUAGGACUUUUGGAGUUGCGCAGAAUAGGUCUCUAAUAUUUGCUCCUUUUCCAGCCCAGAAUUCCAGCUGCCGGCAUUCCCCCUCUUCAUGUAAACCUUGUAAAAUAAGAGAGAUUAGGCAUAAGUAUUGUGAUAUAAUGUGUAAUAACAGCCCAUAAUGCAAUAAAUAUUGGUAUGAAAUCAUGAUGCAAAAUGGACGUAUCAACUCCCCCAAGCUUAGACCUUGCUUGUCCUCAAGCAAAAGCCGAUAUCAAAAAAUAUGUCCACAUGUUUAGAGAUAGAUGUGUCGAUAAAAUAAAAUACGGACAUGAGGGCAUCAUGAUCAUUAUAUAUAUAUAUAUAUAUAUAUAUAUAUAUAUAUAUAUAUAUAUAUAUAUAUAUAUAGGGUCACGCUGUUCGUCACCCUGGGUGAGGAACAGUUAUUCUUCACCCCCUCUCUAUUUUGACAUCAAUGCACCGUAUUUUUACAUUUCAUAAUUUUUUUCUUAUUUCAUACAUAAAAAGAAACGUAAGAAAAUAUGUACUUGCGGUAAAAAAUAUUUUAUGUUACGUAAAAUUACGAAUGUAAAAACAUAGUGUAAAACAUACAUAAAAUGUGAUUUUUCUGGUCUUAUAACCUAUAUUUUUCUUUUUAUAGCAAAAUUUAUAUAUUUAAUCAAUAUGCAUGUAACUAUUUAUAUUCUAAAUAGAAUUUAUUUAGAAAGCGAUCGUAAAAUUACCUCGGGUGAAGAAUAAUUUAUUCUGCACCCUGGAUGAUGAAUAGUAACAUUAUAUAUAUAUACAUACAUAAACACUAUUCUGAUCACCGGAUCAAAAUAUUAUUCUAAUCACAACAUGAACUUCCCGAGUAACGCGCCUGACCUUUCCCGAGUACUAGUUUGAACUUCAGCUAAAAGGUGUCCAAAUGGGGCUUGCGAUUUAAGAGCAGUUUAAGGUGUCCAAAGGUGUCCAAAGGUGUCCGAUGGAUAGCUAUGGACAUUAGUAUCAUGACCCAAGUUAAAUUUUUGGCAAAAUGUAAGCGGUUUAAGAGCAGUUUUGAAAACCGUUUUUUCUUCACACAAAAAAGUGAAUCGUAUUUUUAAUCGCAUUUUUAAACCGUUUAUCGAAAUGAGACAAAUAAUAUGGCUUUGGAAAGCUGCUGCAAAAUCGCUCGUUCCACAUGUUGAAAGUUUUCUCUAAUUACCUAUGGUUAAAGAGUAAUUCGGAAAAUCAUAAAAUUUCGCAAACCGAAUACCCGAGUUCGUAUUUUUGACGCCAUUUCUAAACGGCUAAUCCAAUUAAGGCAAAUAAUAUGAUGUUGGAAAGCUUAUGAAAAUGCUCUACUUUUUUAUGUUAAAAGUGUUUUCUAAUUUUGAAUGGUUUAACAGUAAUUUAGAAAAUGGUACAAGUUCCACUGAGUUUGUAUUUUUGAGCUAAUUUUUUAACUGUACGUCCAAAUGCAGCAAAUGAUAUGGCGUUGGAAAGUUUGAAGAAAUGCGAAACUUUUUUGUAUAUAUUGUUUCUCCUAAUUCAUUACGGUUUUAUGUCAGUUUUGAAAAUGGUUAAAAACGUAUUUUUGCCGUAAUUUCUACAAACUUUAUCGGAAUGGGGCAAAUAAUAUACCGCUGAAAAGCUACGAAAAAUGCGAAACUUUUUCAUGUUGAUGGUUUUCUCGGAAUCCUGGCCGUUUUCAAGUAAUUUCGAAAAUGGCGAGAUCAUUCGUUCUGCCUUUAUCGCGAAAUAGAUUCUUCGAAAAUGCACCGCGUGAAGAACCUGAACUUCUCGGCAUGUCUACUUGAACUUCACUCUGUUUUUCACAUGUUUUUUUCUCAUAGCUCUCUAUCCACUGCUUGUAGCUGUCCAUCCACUCAUCGGAAUUGAGCAAGUGAUAUACCAGUGGAAAGCUGUUGUAAACACGCAACUUUCCCAUGUUGAUCAUUUUUUCAUACUCGCGACGAUUUUAAAAGUUUUUCAUCUGAUAUUCAUUCAUUGUAGUAGGUGAACUUCCUGCUGUUUUUACGUUGAACUUCUGUGACAUAUUUUUCAUUUGUAAUUUUCUCAUCGAUUCGUCAAGUGUUACACAAAUGGUAUUUCUUUUGUAUAAACCUCUCUCACAAUAUUUUUUAAAAUUUCUCCGACAGAGGACUUGAACUUAUACCAACAAACUUUUAGUCUUUGCAUUUUUUAUUCUUUUUAAUACAAAAUGCACACUGUGUAGUACGUGAACUUCUGGCAGUUAUCAUUCUGAACUUCUGUCAGUUACAUGAAAAUAUAUGAGUUUUUUAUGAAUUUUUAAUCUGAUUUUUUAAUCAUUUUUUAUGAAAUUUUGAAGCGCUCUAUUUUUAGUAGUUGAACUUCUUGUUAUUUUAUUUUUGAACUUCUUGUUUUCAUUCUUUAAUAAUGAGGAAAAUCAGAGUUUUUCAAUAAUCAUCGAACUUCUCCGUCUUUUUAAUAAGGACUUCCUGGUUUUUAUUUCUUAAUCCUUUUCUAUGAAAUUUUGAAGCGUUAUAUUUUUAGAAGUUGAACUUCUUGUUUCAUUCUUUAAUAACGAAGAAAAUAUGAGUUUUCUAUAAUCAUGGAACUUCUCCAACUUUUUAAUAUGGACUUCCUUGUUUAUUUCUUAAUAUUUUUUAUGAAAUUUUAAAGCAUUAUUUUCUUUAAAAGUUAAACUUCUUGUUUUUUAUUUUUGAACUUCUUUCCAUUCUUUAAUAUCGAGAAAAAUCUGAGUUUUCUAUGAUCAUCGAACUUCUCCAUCUAUUUAAUAUGGACUUCCUGGUUUUAUUUCUUAAUCUUUUUUAUGAAAUUUUGAAGCGUUAUAUUUUUAAAAGUUGAACUUCUUGUUUUUUUAUUUUCGAACUUCUUGUUUCCAUUCUUUAAUAACGAGGCAAAUCUGAGUUUUCUAUAAUCAUCGAACUUCUAUAUCAAACCGCUCUAACUUUUUUGUUUGAAUUUCUUAUAUGUAUUUUUAGAAAUUUGAAAAUUGUAGUUUUGUUAGAAACAUCAAACUUCUUUGUUAUUUUAAAUUGAACUUAUUGGUUUUAUUCUUUAGUAACAAAAAAUCGAGUUUUUAAUUAAGUAUCAAACUUAUCCACGUUUUUAAAAUGAAAUUCUUGGUUUACUCUUCAAUAACGAGAAAAAUUGAGUUUUUAAUGUACAUUGAAUUACUCUGUUUUUUUAAAUUGAACUUCUUGGUUUAAUCUUUAGUAUCGGGGAAAAUCCAAAAAAAUUUAAAAAAGGGGGAAAAUCUUUUUAAAACUUUUUUGUUGUUCCCUUAUUUUAAUUUUAACUUAUUAGUUAUUCUUUAGAACGAGAAUCGGAGGUUUUUAUAAACUUUAGACUUCUUUGUUAUUUUAAUUUGAACUUCUUAGUUUUAUUCUUUAGUAACGAGGAAAAUCGAGUUUUUUGAACUUCUUUGUUUUAAAAUUUUGAACUUCUUGCUUUUAUUUUUUAAUAAUGUGAAAAAUCCAAAUUUUUCAUAGACAUCGAACUUCACCAUUUUUUAAAUUUGAACGGAUAUUAUUGAACUUUCAAGAAAUAAUGCAGAACAAGAGAAAAGGGACUAAGAGGCCGACACAUCAUACUAGCUAGGUACAAACAUUAAUUAGGCUAAUUACAAAAUGACUAGUCUUUGUUUUCCAGACGCAACAUUUUCGUGCUGGGCCAUUUUGUGAUAAAGCGGUGAGUGUUUCCCACCACAUGCUUUUUUGCUCUUAUUCUCUCCUAUUUAUUUUUUAACCACUACAAUAUCCCUCUCUUAUGUGUUUUAUUUCUCCAUAGAUCAAUGCGAUGUACAAGCACGCAGCGACCAAACCUAGCAAAUAUCUUGAGUAUGUAACUUGAAAGGAAAAAAAUGAACACACGUCCAACAAGUAGUCCACAAGCACACAUGUCUAGUAGUCGGCAGCAGCAAGUCACGCAGACAAUCAUGGUAGUAGGCGUAUGGUCGUAAUAGAACUUGGCGCGGUUGACAUAUAGAUGUACUAGAACCUCGUGUAUAGCUGUACCAGAACUUCAUUGGACGUCCCUAAGCAUCUCAGAAAUUAGCUCAUUGACACAAAAUAAAAAAUUGGAAAUUUACAGCAAAUCCCCUGAAUCCGCAGAAACACACAUGUGGAGUGGAUGAAUUUAUUUAUCAUUUUAUCUUAAGGUGGCACGGAGACGAAGUGCAAGCCACACUCUCAGACUUGUGUAACAUGUGAAAAUAGGAUUGUUAUAUAUCUUCGGUGGCACUUCACACGCGAGCAUUUAGACUAAUAGUCCAAAUGUCAGCUAUCGUUCAAUCAUUCAAAGAAGUGAAGUUCAGUUAACAGAACUGCAAAAACAUAAGAAGAAAUGCAUCAAUUGUUGACAGAAAACUUGCAGAACAAACAAGUAAAUAACUAUUAUAGAGGACAGCGGAAGACUUGCAGAAAUGAUGUGACACUAGAAAAGAGGAAUCUACAAAUUAAAUGUUGAUCUUAGACUAUAAUUAACACUAGAUCUCCAACUUGUAGGCUAUCGGAAGUUAUAUCAUACUGAUAUACUGUCACCACAAAGUGUCUUUAGUGUCACGUUAUAAGAGGGAAGCUAAUGACAAGUAAAAUCCUGACUAAUACUUGAGAACCAUGUUGCUAUCACGACCAGAAGAUCAACAUCUCAAAUUCUCAUUAAAACAACAAAAGCUCAUUGACCCCGAGCAUCAAGGAAUAUCAAUCACUAAAAUUCCAAAACACUCCACAACUCUAAACUGUAGUUCCUGAAUGCAAUCAGUCGUUGUUGCUCGCGAAUUGUUCCAACCACAGCAUGGAGGAAGAGUUGCAGCAUUAGCAUGGAGGAAGAAAGGCUCAGUUCUAGAGGUAAAAGCCAGCGGCGCGAUGAAGUUCAGUUUGGUCGUGGGAAGAAAGUCAGGGCCAGUGAAAGUUGAAUGCACUAGUGACAAUGAAAGCCAAACGCAAUUUCUCAUCCAGUAGUCCGUUAAUUCCGUUGCAUUAUUAUGACAGAACCAACCUACUGUCGGCAGCCAAUUAUUUUAGAGUAGCAAGUGUAAAUGAGAAAAAGUACAUUAAAUAAUUUGUUCUCCCUCUCACGGUAAGACAAAAGGUAGCAAGAGAAAGCCCGUAGUAGCGCCGAACUCUAGAAGGGUGGCGAGCAUGGACACCACUGCACUCCAGCUCCUCGACCUUAGCAAGAAAGAGCAUGCAGCAUGUAGCAGUCCUGGACUUCAGUGCCUCAAUUGACACCACGGCAGCUCUGUAGUGUCCUGCAUGGCUUCAAGCUGAACUUUUGAAUGUCAGUUGGAAGUGCAGACUUCUCUGUGUCGGUAUUGCAAAAAUAUCUAACACAAGUCGAGGAAUGAAAAGCAAGAUGUUUGCAAAAACGAAACAAAAAGAAAGAGAUGCAUCAGUCAAGCGUAUCAUGUUGAAGCUACGCGAUUGCAAAGAAAAGAAGGCACGAUGGCGAGGCUUCUCGGCAGAUCGACGGAUGGUGAACUUGUAGCAUCUCCCCGCACAUGGAUUUGGACUACAACGACGUCGUUCUCGGACUGCAUCUGGGUGCGUGGAGUUCCAUCAGCGGGAACUGGGAGGCAGGGGAGCUUGUCGAGGAGUGUGGGAGAUUCAGUGGGAGAGAGUCCACCACUACGGUGGAUUCAGGGGGAGGGAUCGGAGGGGGCGGCUGCUCGUGCGAUCUGGGGACCGGCGAUGGCGCUCGAGAACCAGGGCAGAACGGCGAAAGCACGGGCGGGUUUCGGGGCCGCGCCGCCAUUGGGGAGGAGGGGAGGGGGCCGCGCCGCCAUUGGGGAGGAGGGGAGGUGGCUGCGAGGGAGGUGUCCAGCGGUGUGCAGGGUUGCUAGGUCCCGGCGGCACCGGUUGGGGCAGCGCGGGGGCGGCGGCGCCGAUUGCGGCGGGGCAGUUGAGGCGGGGUGCGGGCGGUGGCGUCAGUUGGGGCGGGGUGCGGGCGGUGGCGUCAGUUGGGAUGGGGUGCCGACGGCGCAGGGCCGGCAGCGCCGGUUGGGGCGGGGUACGGGAGGCGAAUCGAUCUGGGGCGGGUGGUGAGCAUCGAUCUGGGGCGGGUGGCAGGCAUCGGCCGGUUUGGGGCAGGAGGUGCGGGAUGUAGGUGGUGGAUCAGGAUUGAGGGAGGUGGGGUGGGUUUUUUCUUUUCUUUUGUUUGUCGCUGCCCGGUUUAGAAGUUCAGAACAUCCCGUCGGGCCCAUAUAUAUAGGGUCGGGCUAUUCGUCACCCUGGGUGAGGAAUAGUUAUUCUUCACCCCCCCUCUAUUUUACUAUCAAUGCACCGUAAUUUUACGUUCCGUAAGUUUUGUCUUAUUUCCAGCGCAAAAAGGGACCGUAAGAAAAUAUAUAAUCGCCGUAAAAAAUAUUUUAUGUUAUGUAAAAUUACAAACAUAAAAACAUAGUCUAAAAUACACAUAAACUGUAAAUUUUCUUGUCUUAUAAACUAUAUUUUUAUUUUCUUAUGUCAAAUUUUACGUAGUGAAUCAAUAGGAAUGUAACUAUUUGAAUUUGAAAUGUAAUUUAAUUAUGAAAUGAUCGUAAGAUUACCUCGGAUGAAAAAUAACUUAUUCUGCAGCCUGGGUGAUGAAUAGUAACACUAUAUAUAUAUUGUCAUAUGAUCUCUUAUGCUAAAGUAACAAUUCAAUCACAAUUUCAAGUAUGAAUUAGAAACUUUAUCGAGAACCAACAAACUAUAAUCUCAGUCAUUGAAGCAAUUGUAAUUUAUCAUAACAUAGAAAAGAGUCAAUAUAAGAGCUUUUCAGGAAUUCCACAUACUCAACUAUCAUUUAGUCUUUCACAAUUGCUAACACUCAUGUGAUAUUUAUGGUUAUGAAGUUUUAAUCGGACACAGAGAAAGAUAGGGGCUUAUAGUUUUGCCUCCCAACCUUUUACCUCAAGGGUAAUGUCAACAAUAAUAGUUCAUGAAAACUCACAUCCUAUUAGCCAUAUAUAUCAGGAUCUUUCCAACACAUUGUGCUUGCCAAAGAUAAAAUGUAAAAAGGAAAGGUGAAGAUCAUCAUGACUCUUGUAUGAAGUAUAAGACAAGAAUAAAAUAUAGGCCCUUUGCAGAUGGAAGCAGAGGUUGUCAUGUGAUUUUAUGGUUGGAUGCACAAAAUCUUAAUGCGAAAGAACGUCACUUUAUAUUGCCACUUGUGAUAUGGACCUUGUCGGUGUCAAAACCGGCUGAUCUCGGGUAGGGGGUCCCGAACUGUGCGUCUAAGGCGGAUGGUUACAGGAGGCAGGGGACACGAUGUUUUACCAAGUUCGGGCCCUCUUGAUGGAGGUAAAACCCUACGUCCUGCUUGAUUAAUAUUGAUGAUAUGGGUAGUACAAGAGUAGAUCUACCACGAGAUCAAAGAGGCUAAACCCUAGAAGCUAGCCUAUGGUAUGAUUGUAUGUUGUCCUAUGGACUAAAACCCUCCGGUUUAUAUAGACACUAGAAAGGGCUAGGGUUACACAAGGUCGGUUACAAAGGAGGAGAUAUACAUAUCCGUAUUGCCUAGCUUGCCUUCCACGCCAAGUUGAGUCCCAUCCGGACACGAGACGAAGUCUUCAAUCUUGUAUCUUCAUAAUCCAACAGUCCGGCCAAAGGAUAUAAUCCGGCUGUCCGGAGACCCCCUAAUCCAGGACUCCCUCAGACCUUUAUUAGGUAGUCCGUCGCUUUUAUUUCUUCCACAUCACAAGAUCGUAUAAAGCUUAUUUUCUCCACACUAAUAAAUCCUACAUAUUUAGAGAGCAAUUUUUAUUGCUUGCAACGAUGACAACUUACUUGAAGGAUCUUACUCAAUCCAUAGGUAGAUAUGGUGGACUCUCAUGGCAAAACUAGGUUUAAGGAUAUUUGGAAGCACAAGUAGUAUCUCAACUUGGUGCAAAGAAUUUGGCUAGCAUGAGAGGGAAAGGCAAGCUCAACAUGUUGGAUGAUCCAUGACAAUAUAAUUUAUUUCAGAUGUAAGAAAACAUAACCCAUUACGUUGUCUUCCUUGUCCAACAUCAACUCUUUAGCAUGUCAUAUUUUAAUGAGUGCUCACAAUCAUAAAAGAUGUCCAAGAUACUAUAUUUAUAUGUGAAAACCUCUCUUUCUUUAUUACUUCCUAUUAAUUGCAACGAUGACCAAAACUUUGUUUGUCAACUCUCAACAACUUUUAUUCAUCAUACUCUUUAUAUGUGAAGUCAUUACUCUCCAUAAGAUCCAUAUGAUCUCUUUAUUUCUUUUUAUUCUUUAUCUUUUAUUUUUAUUCCCUCAAGAUCAUAGCAAGAUAAUCAAGCCCUUGACUCAACACUAAUCUUUAUUAUAUAUAGAUCACGGACUCGAUUACACAGAAGGAUCAUAAAGCAAAACUCAAAACUAGAUCAUACUAAAACUUUAUUCUACUAGAUCAAGAUAUUACCAAAAGGAUCGAACUAAGAAAAAUGGCAAAGAUAAAAGUGUGACGAUGAUACGAUACCGGGGCACUCCCCCAAGCUUGGCAGUUGCCAAGGGGAGUGCCCAUACCCGAUACUCAGUUCUCCUUUGUUGGUGAAGAAGGUGUUGGUGAUGAUGGAUAGUCGCACAUCGAGCGUAGGAGGUCCUCCAAUUUGCGGAUAAUGCCCUUGAGUGCGAUGAUAUGAUCCUUCAACAAAAUAUUUUCACUCAUGAGAUACUUGUUUUGAAUGCGAGCUAACUCAAUCAUCUUGAAAACUUCAAUCUCCGUUGGGGUAAAGAGAUUAUGAUGAGGUUGAAGGAUGUCUUCUUCUACUACUGCCGGAACUUGAUCCCCCACGACCUUCUUGAUCCUGUCAACCUUGUUGAUCUCUUCGAUCCCUUAUCUCUUCAACUCUAUCUUCAUUAGCCAAGCAUCAUUGCCCUCAUUGUUGGAGGAGGAGGGAGACGACAUGAUGCCUGGCCUUAACAACCCUAGCAGAAAACAGCUCGAAACAAAAACAUGAGAUUUUUGCGUGGUACAGUGGUCAAAACCUUCGGGAGAUUAUACAAUGAUUUUGUACUGACCAAAAGAAGUAUCGUGCAAGAAAACGGAGUCCGGAGAGCACACGAGGUGCCCACAAGGCAGGGGGCGCUCCCUCCACCCUCGUGGACGCCUCAUGUCCUUCCCGGACUGCUUUUUAUUUUCCUAUUUUCUUAAAUAUUCCAAAACAGAGAAAAAUGCUAUUGGAACUGUUUUGGAGUCAGUUUACUUACCGUACCACACACCUAUUCCUUUUCGGAGUCUGAAACGUUCAGGAAAGUGUCCCUUAUGUAUUCCUCCAGGGUUAUAGUUUCAAUAACAUUAGUUUCAACAUUUAUGGGAUUACCUGAGAUGGAAUGUUUGGUUCUUUGACCAUUCACCACCCUCGGAUUUGUGCCUUCGAAGUUGUUGAUUUUUAUGGCAUCGGAGCGGCAGACCUCCUCAAUGACGUAAGGACCUUCCCAUUUAGAGAGGAGUUUUCCUGCAAAAAAUCUUAAACAAGAGUUGUAUAACAAUACAUAAUCACCUAUAUUAAACUCACGCUUUUGUAUCCUUUUGUCAUGCCAUCUUUUAACUUUUUCUUUAAACAGUUUGGCAUUCUCAUAAGCCUGGGUUCUCCAUUCAUCAAGUGAGCUAAUGUCAAAAAGCCUCUUCUCGCCGGCAAGUUUGAAAUCAUAAUUGAGCUCUUUAAUGGCCCAAAAUGCCUUAUGUUCUAGUUCGAGAGGUAAGUGACAUGCAUUUCCAUAAACCAUUUUAUACGGAGACAUACCCAUAGGAUUCUUAUAUGCAGUUCUAUAGGCCCAUAAUGCAUCAUCAAGUUUCUUGGACCAAUUCUUCCUAGAUCUAUUAACAAUAUUUUGCAAAAUUAAUUUAAGCUCUCUAUUACUCAAUUCUACUUGACCACUAGACUGUGGAUGAUAUGGAGAUGCAAUUCUAUGAUUAACAUCAUACUUAGCAAGCAUAUUACUAAAAGCACCAUGAAUAGAAUGUGAACCACCAUCAGUCAUUAAAUAUCUAGGGACUCCAAACCUCGGAAAAAUAACUUCUUUAAGCAUCUUAAUAGAGGUGUUAUGAUCAGCACUACUAGUUGGAAUAGCUUCUACCCACUUAGUAACGUAAUCAACAACAACUAAAAUAUGUUUAUACCCAUUAGAGGAAGGAAACGGUCCCAUAUAAUCAAAGCCCCAAACAUCAAAUGGUUCAAUAACAAGUGAAUAAUUCGUAGGCAUUUCUUGACAUCUACUAAUAUUACAAAUUCUUUGACAUUCAUCACAAGACAAGACAAACUUACGGGCAUCUUUGAAGAGAGUAGGCCAAUAAAAACCGGAUUGCAAUACCUUAUGUGCAGUUCUAUCUCCAGCGUGGUGUCCUCCAUAAGCCUCAGAGUGACACUUGCACAGGAUCUGUUCCUAUUCAUGCUAAGGUACACAACGUACAAUAAAACCAUCUACUCCUUCUUUAUAAAGGUGUCAGUCAUCCCAAAAGUAAUGUCUUAAAUCAUAGAAGAACUUUUUCUUUUACUAGUAUGUGAAACUAGGUGGUAAAAAUUUAGCAACAAUAUAAUUAGCACAAUCAGCAUACCAUGGAGCAGUACGAGAAGCAUUUAUGACAGCUAGUUGUUCAUCAGGAAAGCUAUCAUCAAUAGGUAGUGGGUCAUCAAGAACAUUCUCUAACCUAGACAAGUUGUCUGCAACGGGGUUCUUAGCUCCCUUUCUAUCAAUAAUAUGCAAAUCAAAUUCUUGAAGCAAGAGAACCCAUCUAACAAGUCUAGGUUUAGCAUGUUUCUUUUCCAUAAGAUAUUUAAUAGCAGCAUGAUCAGUGUGAAUAGUUACUUUAGAAUCAACAAUAUAAGGUCUGAACUUAUCACAAGCAAAUACAACUACUAAAAAUUCUUUUUCAGUAGUAGCAUAAUUUCUCUGGGCACUGUCUAGAGUUUUACUAGCAUAUUGGAUAUCAUUUAAUUUCUUAUCAACUCUUUGCCCUAGAACAGCCCCUACAACAUAAUCACUAGCAUCACCCAUAAUUUCAAAUGGUAAAUUCCAAUCAGGAGGCUGAACAAUAGGUGCAGAAAUCAAAGCUUUCUUAAGUAUUUCAAAUGCUUCUACACAAUCAUCAUCAAAGACAAAUGGAACAUCUUUUUGUAAGAGAUUAGUCAGAGGCCUAGAAAUUUUAGAAAAGUCCUUAAUGAACCUCCUAUAAAAACCGACAUGACCAAGAAAACUUCUUAUACCUUUAAUGUCCUUAGGACACGUCAUCUUUUCAAUAGCAUCAAUUUUAGCUUUAUCAACUUCAAUACCUCUUUCGGAAAUUUUAUGCCCCAAGACAAUGCCUUCAUUAACCAUAAAGUGGCACUUCUCCCAAUUCAAGACAAGAUUAGUUUCUUCACAUCUAUGCAAAACUCGAUCAAGGUUGCUUAAGCAACCAUCAAAAGAAGUUCCAUAUACAAAAAAAAAUCAUCCAUGAAUACCUCAACAAUCUUUUCACAAAAGUCAGAGAAUAUAGCAGUCAUACAUCUUUGAAAGGUAGCAGGUGCAUGCAUAAACCAAAAGGCAUACGUCUAUAAGCAAAGGUACCGAAAGGGCAAGUAAAAGUUGUCUUUUCUUGAUCCUCUUUUGACACAGGUAUUUGAAAGAAACCAGAAUAACCAUCUAGAAAGCAAAAAUGUGUAUGUUUGGAUAUUCUUUCUAGCAUUUGAUCCUUUUUAGUAGCUUUCUUUAAUUUGCGGAAAAGAAUUACCAUUCUAUAACCUGUAACAAUUCUUUGUGGGAUCAAUUCAUCUUUAUCAUUAGGAACAACAAUAAUACCUCCCUUCUUAGGGACACAAUGGACAUGACUUACCCACUGACUGUCAGCAACGGGAUAAAUUAUACUUGCCUCCAGAAGCUUUAGUAUUUCUUUUCUUACCACUUCUUUCAUCUUAGGAUUUAACUGUCAUUGGUGAUCAACAACCGGUUUCGCGUCUUUCUCCAAUUUUAUUUUGUGCUGGCAUAGAGUGGGACUAAUGCCCUUAAGAUCAUCAAGAGGAUAUCCAAUAGCGGGAUGGUGCUUCUUCAAAGUUUUCAAUAAUUUCUUUUCCUCAUGCUUUGAAAGGUUAGCACUAAUAAUAACAGGAUAUUUCUCCUUCUCAUCAAGAUAAGCAUAUUUAAGAGUAUCAGGUAAAGUUUUAAGCUCAAACACGGGAUCACCCUUGGGUGGAGGAGGAUCCCCUAGAAUUUCAAUAGACAAAUUGUGUUUCAAAAUAGGUCCCUGUAUAAAGAAUACUUCAUCUAUUUCCCUUCAUUCAUAAACAUAUCAUUUUCAUGGUCUAGCAAAUAUUGUUCUAAAGGAUCACUAGGAGGCACGGCAAUAGAAGCAAGACCAAUAAUUUCAUCUUCACUGAGCAAUUCUUUAUCAUGGGGUUGUCUACGAAUUUUAGCAAAGUUAAAUUCAUGAGACAUAUCCCCUAAACCAACAGAAACAAUAUCCUUAUUGCAAUCUAUCUUAGCAUUAACAGUAUUCAAGAAGGGUCCAAGAAAAAUAAUGGGACAAAAGAUAUCUUGUGGGGAACCAAGAAGAAGAAAAUCAGUAGGAUAUUUAACUUUCCCACACAAGACUUCAACAUCUCUAACAAUCCCAACUGGUGAAAUAGUGUCUCUAUUGGCAAGUAUAAUAGUAACAUCAAUUUCCUCUAUCUCAGCAGGUGCAAUAUCAUGCAUAAUUUCUAUAUAUAAGGAAUGAGGUAUUGCACUUGCACUAGCACCCUAUCACAUAAGCCAUGAUAGCAAUGAUCUCCUAUUUUAACAGAAAUAACAGGCAUGCCUACAACAGGUCUAUAUUUAAUUUUGGUAUCGGGUCUAGCAAUUCUAGCAGCUUCAUCACAUAAGUAAAUAACAUGCCCAUCAAUCUUAUCGGCCAAGAGAUCUUUAACCAUAGCAACACUAGGUUCAACUUUCAUUUGCUCAGAGGGAGUAGGUGUUCUAGUAUUAGUCUUACGAACUACAGUUGAAGCUUUAGCAUGAUUCUUUAUUCUAGCAGGGAAGGGUGGUUUCUCAAUAUAAGUAGUAGGAACAGUAGGAUCAUUAUAAGUGAUAGUCUUUUCUUCAACUUUAAUUGGUGAAACUACUUAUAUUUAAACCACUUCUCCUUAGGAGAUCAACAUGAGUAGCAAAGGAUUCAUAGAAAUAAGUUACUAUCUCAGAGUCAAGUCCAUAUUUACUGCUAAAUUCACGGAAAGCAUCGGUAUCCAUAAAGGAUUUAACACAAUCAAACUUAGGUGUUAUACCUGACUCCUUAGCUUCGUCGAGGUCCCAAUCUUCAGAGUCGCGCUUAAUUCUUUCCAAUAAAUCCCAUUUGAAUUCAAUAGUCUUCAUCAUAAAAGAACUAGUACAAGAAGUAUCGAGCAUGGAGCGAUUAUCGAGAGAAAGCCGAGCAUAAAAUUUUUGAAUAAUAAUUUCUCUUGAGAGCUCAUGAUUGGGGCGUGAAUAUAACAUUGACUUAAGCCUCCCCCAAGCUUGAGCGAUGCUUUCUUCUUGGCGAGGGAAAAAAUUAUAUAUAUAAUUACGAUCACGAUGAACAAGAUGCAUAGGAUAAAACUUCUGAUGAAAUUCCAAUUUGAAUCGGCUGUAGUUCCAUGAUCCCAUAUCAUCACAUAGCCUAAAUCAUGUCAAUGCCUUUAACUUCAAAGAUAAAGGGAAGACCUUGUUCUUGAUAACAUCCUCGGGCAUACAUGCAAGCUUAAAUAAUCCACAAAAUUCAUCUAUAUAGAUUAGGUGCAAAUCAGGAUGCAAUGUUCCAUCUCCUGUAAAAGGAUUAGCUAGCAGUUUCUCUAUCAUAACCGAAGGAAUUUCAAAGUAAAAAUAUUAGUAGGUUCAGUAGGUUGAGGAGCAACUCUUUGCUCUACUGGUCGGGGUGAAGAUACCCCGAACAAGCCCCUCAAAGGAUUAUGUUCCAUAGUAACAAGUGACAGUAAAUUUCAGCACCCUAUAUAAAUUUUUUCUUACCAAAUUCCACUCACCAAAGGCGCUUCACUCCCCGGCAACGGCGCCAGAAAAGAGUCUUGAUGACCCACAAGUAUAGGGGAUCUAUCAUAGUCCUUUCGAUAAGUAAGAGUGUUGAACCCAACGAGGAGCAGAAGGAAAUGAUAAGCAAUUUUCAGUAAGGUAUUCUCUGCAAGCACUGAAAUUAUCGGUAACAGAUAGUUUUGUCAUAAGGUGAUUUGUAACGGGUAACAAGUAAUGAAAGUAAAUAAGGUGCAGCAAGAUGGACCAAUCCUUUUUUUAGCAAAGGACAAGCCUGGACAAACUCUUAUAUAAAGGAAAACGCUCCCGAGGACACGUGGGAAUUACCAUCAAGCUAGUUUUCAUCACGUUCAUAUGAUUCACGUUCGAUACUUUGUUAAUUUGAUAUGUGGGUGGACCGGUGCUUGGGUACUGCACUUCCUUGGACAAGCAUCCCACUUAUGAUUAACCCCUAUUGCAAGCAUCCGCAACUACAAUAGAAGUAUUAAGGUAAACCUAACCAUAGCAUGAAACAUAUGGAUCCAAAUCAGCCCCUUACGAAGCAACGCAUAAACUAGUGUUUAAUCUUCUGUCACUCUAGCAACCCAUCAUCUACUUAUUACUUCGCAAUGCCUUCCGCUAGGCCCAAACAAUGAUAAAGUGUCAUGUAGUCAAUGUUCACAUGGCACCACUAGAGGAAAGACAACAUACAUCUCAUCAAAAUAUCGAACGAAUACCAAAUUCACAUGACUACUUAUAGCAAGACUUCUCCCAUGUCCUCAGGAACAAACGUAACUACUCACAAAUAAUAUUCAUGUUCAUAAUUAGAGGGGUAUUAAUAUGCAUAAUGGAUCUGAACAUACGAUCUUCCACCAAUUAAACCAACUAGCAUCAACUACAAGGAGUAAUCAACACUACUAGCAACCCACAGGUACCAAUCUGAGGUUUUGAGACAAAGAUUGGAUAGAAGAGAUGAACUAGGGUUUGAGAUAAGAUGGUGCUGGUGAAGAUGUUGAUGGAGAUUGACUCCUCCCGAUGAGAGGAUCGAUGGUGAUGAUUUCCCCCUCCCGGAGGGAAGUUUCCCCGGCAGAACAGCUUCGCCGAAGCCCUAGAUUGGUUCUGCCAAGGUUCCACCUCGUGGCGGCGGAGUUUCGUCCCGUGAGCUUGCUUAUGAUUUUUUCCUGGACGAAAAACUCCAUAUAGCCAAAGAUGGGCAUCAGAGGGCUGCCAGGGGGCCCACGAGGUAGGGGGCGCGCCCAGGGGGGUAGGGCGCGCCCCCACCCUCAUGGAUGGUGGGUGGCCCCCUCUUGUACUUCUUUCGCCCAAUGUUUUUUAUAUAUUCUGAAACGUGCUCCCGUGAAGUUUCAGGAAUUUUGGAGUUGUGCAGAAUUGGUCUCUAAUAUUUGCUCCUUUUCCAGCCCAGAAUUCCAGCUGUCGGCAUUCCCUCUCUUCAUGUAAACCUUGUAAAAUAAGAGAGAAUAGGCAUAAGUAUUGUGAUAUAAUGUGUAAUAACAACUCAUAAUGCAAUCAAUAUUGAUAUGAAAUCAUGAUGCAAAAUGGACGUAUCACAUCCCCAAGCUUAGGCUCUUACAUCCUUCCUUCAUCCAUCGUAAGAUAACCCAAAAUUUGAAAACUUCAAUCACACAAAACUCAAAAAAGCCUUCGUGAUAUCCGUUAGUAUAAGAAUAAUAAACUACUACUAUAAGUGUUGUAUCAAACCAAUUCAUAUUUUGUUUUUGUAUUAUAUCUAUUGUAUUCCAACUUUUCUAUGGCAAAAACUCAUCAAAGAAAACCAUAGAGCCAUCAAAAUAAGCACACAACACAAAGAAAACAGAAUAUAUCAAAAUAGAACAGUCUGCAGCAAUCUGAUUAUUUUGAAUACUUAUGUAACUCCAAAAACUCUUAAAAACUAGGGAGACCUGAGUAAUCUGUAUAUUGAUCAACCGCAAGUGGAAUGGGUAUUUUAUCGCUCUUUGGUAAGAAAUGAAAAUUAAUUUUGUGAGCGUAAAAGUUUCUGUUUUUUAGCAAGAUCAAACAACUAUCACCCAAUAAGAUCCUAAAGGCUUUACUUGGCACAAACACUAAUUAAAAUAUAAAAAACACAAUCAUAACAGUAGCAUAAUUGUGCUAACACUCAAAAACAGGAAGCAAAAAAGCAAAAAUAAAAUUUAUUCAUUGGGUUGCCUCCCAACAAGCGCUAUAAUUUUACGCCCUUAGCUAGGCAUAAAGCAAGGAUCUAAGUUUUGUCAUCCUUCUUCUUCUUAGUUUUCUUAGAGGUGUUUCCGUCAUGAGGUUUUGUAAACAAAACAUAAAAAAUAUUAUCCAUGGAAACUCUAGCAUUCCUCAAUUGGUUUUCAUAAUAGCCCCUUUGAUUUCCUGCAACAAUCCAAGAGUAGUGUUGAUUAACAUUAUUAAAAACUUGUUGGAUUAUAUCUAGAACGGGGACUUCCUUUUUAAGAUUCUCAUCAAAGAUAUUAUUGUCCCCAAACAAAUGCCUUAGUGCGUAGUCACUAUUGUAAAGAAUUUCAUCUAUCACGGGUUUUUCACGAUUCAUACCAUCAAAAUCAAAGAUUUCCCAAGCUUCCCGAAUUAUGUAGUCAAACACGUUCAUAACAACGAGAGUGGCCAGCUUUUUAAACCUUAGGAUUCUUUAUUUCCGGAAGCUCAAAAAACAAUCUUUGCCAGGUAGGAUGAGUACGAAUAAAUUUACUUUCAAUUUUUAGAACUAGUGCUGAAACAACAUCUGCAUAAGGUCUAGUAGUUUUAAGUAUAGGAGUACUAUCAUCAAGACUUAGGUUUCCAACACAAUUGAAAAAUUCUUGGAUACGUUCUUUUUCCAUAACGUCCCCUUGCCCCAAGAUAAAAGUUUUACCAUCAAAAUUGCCUAUAUGUCCAAUCUUAGGAGUCAACCCAUCAUCUGUUGGUGCCAUAACGAAAUCACUCAUGAUUGCAAGCAAAGAAUAGAUCUGACAAGAAAACGGCGAACGGGAAAGAGAGGCGAAUAAAACGGCAAAAUUUUGUGAAGUGGGGGAGAGGAAAAUGAGAGGCAAAUGGCAAAUGAUAUAAAUUGCAAGGAGAUGAGAUUUGUGACUAGGAACCUGGUUAUGUUGAAGAUCCUCCCCGGCAACGGUGCCAGAAAUUCCUUUUGAUGUCACUUGAAGCUACGUCAGUUUUUUCCCCAAAGAGGAAGGGAUGAUGCAGCACAUCAGCGGUAGGUAUUUCCCUUAGAUAUGAAACCAAGGUUAUCGAACCAGUAGGAGAACCAAGCAACUAUUGUGGAAUGUAGUAAUUUCAAAAAAAAUUGUACGCACACGCAAGACCAUGGUGAUGCAUAGCAACGAGAGGGAAGAGUAUUAUCCACGUACCCUCGUAGACCAUAAGCGGACGUGUUAUGGGAACGCGGUUGAUGUAGUCAAACGUCUUCACGAUCCGACCGAUCCAAGUACCGAACGCACGGCACCUCCGAGUUCAGCACAUGUUCAGCUCGAUGACGUCCCAUGAACUCCGAUCUAGCAGAGCUUCACAGAAGAGUUCCGUCAGCACGACGGCAUGAUGACGGUGAUGAUGUUGCUACCGACGCAGGGCUUCGCCUAAGCACCGCUACGAUAUGAUCGAGGUGGAUUAUGGUGGAGGGGGGCACCGCACACGGCUAAGGGAUCAAUGAUCAACUUGUGUGUCUAUAGGGUGCCCCUUCCCCUGUAUAUAAAGGAGUGGAGGAGGGGGAGGGCCGACCCUCUCUAUGGCGCGCCCUAGGGGAGUCAUACUCCCACGAGGAGUAGGAUUCCCCCUUUCCUAGUAGAACUAGGAGCCCUUCCAAGUAGUAGGAGUAGGAGAGAAGGAAAGGGAAAAGAGAAGAGAAGGAAGGAGGGGGCGCCGCCCCUCCCCCUAGUCCAAUUCGUACUAAGCCUUGGGGGGCACGCAGCCUCCCAUCUCUGUUUUCCCUAAAGGCCAGUAAGGCCCAUAUACUCCCCGGCGAAUUCCCGUAACUCUCCGGUACUCCGAAAAAUAUCCGAAUCACUCGGAACCUUUCCGAUGUUCGAAUAUAGUCUUCCAAUAUAUCGAUCUUUAUGUCUCGAACAUUUCGAGACUCCUCGUCAUGUCCCCGAUCUCAUCCGGGACUCCAAACUACCUUCGGUACAUCAAAUCACAUAAACUCAUAAUACCGAUCGUCACCGAACUUUAAGCGUGCGGACCCUACAGGUUUGAGAACUAUGUAGACAUGACCGAGACUCGUCUCUGGUCAAUAACCAAUAGUGGAACCUAGAUGCUCAUAUUGGUUCCUACAUAUUCUACGAAGAUCUUUAUUGAUCAAACCGCAUAACAACAUACAUUGUUCCCUUUGUCAUCGGUAUGUUACUUGCCCGAGAUUCGAUCGUUGGCAUCUCAAUACCUAGUUCAAUCUCGUUACCGGCAAGUCUCUUUACUCGUUCCGUAAUGCAUCAUCCCGCAGCUAACUCAUUAGUUACAUUGCUUGCAAGGCUUAUAGUGAUGUGCAUUACCGAGAGGGCCUAGAGAUACCUCUCCGACAAUCGGAGUGACAAAUCCUAAUCUCGAUCUAUGCCAACUCAACAAGUACCAUCGGAGACACCUAUAGAGCAGCUUUAUAAUCACCCAGUUACGUUGUGACGUUUGGUAGCACACAAAGUGUUCCUCCGGUGAUCGGGAAUUGCAUAAUCUCAUAGUCAUAGGAACAUGUAUAAGUCAUGAAGAAAGCAAUAGCAGUAAACUAAAACGAUCAAGUGCUAAGCUAAUGGAAUGGGUCAAGUCAAUCACAUCAUUCUGCUAAUGAUGUGAUCCCGUUUAUCAAAUGAUAACUGAUGUCUAUGGUUAGGAAACAUAACCAUCUUUGAUCAACGAGCUAGUCAAGUAGAGGCAUACUAGUGACACUCUGUUUGUCUAUGUAUUCACACAUGUAUUAUGUUUCCGGUUAAUACAAUUCUAGCAUGAAUAAUAAAUAUUAAUAAUAACUUUAUUAUUGCCUCUAGGGCAUAUUUCCUUCAGUCUCCCACUUGCACUAGAGUCAGUAAUCUAGUUCACAUCUUUAUGUGAUUAGUUCACAUCUCCAUGUGACUAAUACCCAAAGGGUUUACUAGAGUCAAUAAUCUAGUUCACAUCGCUAUGUGAUUAACACCCAAAGAGUGACCAUGUAUUUCUUGUGAGAGAAGUUUAGUCUACGGGUCUGCAACAUUCAGAUCCGUAUGUAUUUCGCAAAUUUCUAUGUCUACAAUGCUCUGCACGGAGCUACUCUAGCUAAUUGCUCCCACUUUCAAUAUGUAUCCAGAUCGAGACUUAGAGUCAUCUAGAUCGAUGUGAAAAGCUUGCAUCGACGUAACUCUUUACGACGAACUCUUUUAUCAUCUCCAUAACCGAGAAAUAUUUCCUUAGUCCUCUAAGGAUAAAUUUUGACCGCUAUCCAGUGAUCUACUCCUAGAUCGUUAUUGUACUCCCUUGCCAGAAUCAUGCUAAGGUAUACAAUAGGACUAGUAAACAUCAUAGCAUACUUUCUAGAACCUAUGACUGAGGCAUAGGGAAUGACCUUUCAUUCUAUUUCUAUUUUCUGCUGUGGUUGGGUUUUGAGUCUUUACUCAACUUCACACCUUGCAACAUAGGCAAGAACUCCUUCUUUGACUGUUCCAUUUUGAACUACUUCAAAAAACUUGUCAAGGUAUGUACUCAUUGAAAAAUCUUAUCAAGCGUCUUGACCUAUCUCUAUAGAUCUUGAUGCUCAAUGUGUAAGUAGCUUCAUCGAGGUCUUUCUUUGGAAAACUCUUUUCAGAUACUCCUUUAUGCUUUCCAGAAAAUUCUACAUUAUUUCUGAUCAACACAUAUGCUUAUCAGAAAUGCUGUCGUGCUCCUACUCACUUUCUUGUAAAUACAGGCUUCACCGCAAGUCUGUAUAAAACCAUAUGCUUUGAUCACUUUAUCAAAGUAUAUAUUCCAACUCUGAGAUGCUUCCACCAGUCCAUAGAUGGAUUGCUGGAGCUUGCACACUUUGUUAGCACCUUUAGGACUGAUAAAACCUUCUUGUUGCAUCAUAUACAACUCUUCUUGAAGAAAUCCAUUAAGGAAUGCAAUUUUGACAUCCAUUUGCCAGAUUUCAUAAAAUGCGGCAACUGCUAACAUGAUUUGGACAGAGCUUUAAGCAUCGAUAUGAGUGAGAAAAUCUCAUCGUAGUCAACACCUUGAACCUGUCGAGAACAUUUUGCAACAAUUCGAGCUUUUUAGAUAGUAACACUACUAUCAGCAUCUGUCUUCCUCUUGAAGAUCCAUUUAUUCUCAAUGACUCACCGAUCAUCGGGCAAGUCAAUCAAAGUCCAUACUUUGUUCUCAUACAUGGAUCCCAUCUUAGAUUUCAUGGCCUCAAGCCAUUUCAUGGAAUCUGGGCUCAUCAUCGCUUCCUCAUAGUUCGUAGGUUCAUCAUGGUCAAGUAACAUGACCUCCAGAACAUGAUUACUGUACCACUCCGGUGCGAAUCUCACUCUGGUUGACCUACAAGGUUCGGUAGUAACUUGAUCUGAAGUUACAUGAUCAUCAUCAUUAGCUUCCUUACUAAUUGGUGUAGGAGUCACAGGAACAGAUUUCUAUGAUGAACUACUUUCCAAUCAGGGAGAAGGUACAGUUACCUCAUCAAGUUCUACUUUCCUCCCACUCACUUCUUUCGAGAGAAACUCCUUCUCUAGAAAGGAUCCAUUCUUAGCAACGAAUGUCUUGCCUUUGGAUCUGUGAUAGAAGGUGUACCCAACUUUCUCCUUUGGGUAUCCUAUGAAGACACAUUUCUCUGAUUUGGGUUUGAGCUUAUCAGGAUGAAACUAUUUCACAUAAGCAUCGUAACCCCAAACUUUAAGAAAUGACAACUUUGGUUUCUUGCCAAACCAUAGUUCAUACGGUGUCAUCUCAACGGAUUUAGAUGGUGCCCUAUUUAACAUGAAUGCAGCUGUCUCCAGGGGCGUUGCCAGGCCCAAGGCUACCUAGGUCGUGGCCUGGGGCGUGGUGGUGAAAACGUUCGUUGACUGUAGCUACAGUAAACACUGUAGCAACGAAGAUGGCCCGGGGCGUGUAGAUAUUCUGGCUACGGCACUGGCUGUCUCUAAUGCAUAACCCCAAAACGAUAGCGGUAAAUCAGUAAGAGACAUCAUAGAUUGCACCAUAUCUUAUAAAGUAUGGCUACGUUGUUCGGACACACCAUUACGCUGUGGUGUUCUAGGUGGCGUGAGUUGCGAAACUAUUUCGCUUGGUUUCAAAUGAAGACCAAACUCGUAACUCAAAUAUUCUCCUCCACAUUCAGAUCGUAGAAACUUUAUUUUCUUGUUGCGAUGAUUUUCCACUUUACUCUGAAAUUUUUGAACUUUUCCAAUGUUUCAGAUUUAUGUUUCAUUAAGAAGAUAUACCCAUAUCUUACUCAAAUCAUCCGUGAAGGUCUGAAAAUAACGAUACCUGCCGCGAGCCUCAACACUCAUCGAACUACAUACAUCAGUAUGUAUUAUUUCCAACAAGUCUGUUGCUCGCUCCAUUGUUCCAGAGAAUGGAGUCUUAGUCAUCUUGCCCAUGAGGCAUGGUUCGCAAGCAUCAACUGCUUCAUAAUCAAGUGAUUCCAAAAGCCCAUUAACAUGGAUUUUCUUCAUGCGCUUUACACCAAUAUGACCUAAACGGCAGUGCCACAAAUAAGUUGCACUAUCAUUAUUAACUUUGCAUCUUUUGGCUUCAAUAUUAUGAAUAUGUGUAUCACUAUGAUCGAGAUUCAAUAAACCAUUCACCUUGGGUGUAUGACCAUUGAAGGUUUUAUUCAUGUAAAUAGAACAACAAUUAUUCUCUGACUUUAAAUGAAGAACUGUAUUGCAAUAAACAUGAUCAAAUCGUAUUCAUGCUUAACGCAAACACCAAAUAACAUUUAUUUAGGUUCAACACUAAUCCCGAAAGUAUAGGUAGUGUGCGAUGAUGAUCAUAUCAAUCUUGGAACCACUUCCAACAUACAUCGUCACUUCACCCUUGACUAGUCUCUAUUCAUUCUACAACUCCCGUUUCGAGUUACUAAUCUCAGCAACUGAACUAGUAUCAAAUACUGAGGGGUUGCUAUAAACACUAGUAAAGUACACAUCAAUAACAUGUAUAUCAAAUAUACCUUUGUUCACUUUCCAUCCUUCUUAUCCGCCAAAUACUUGGGGCAGUUCUGCUUCAAGUGACUAGUCCCUUUGCAGUAGAAGCACUUAGUCUCAGGCUUUGGUCUAGAUUUGGGCUUCUUCACUUGAGCAGCAACUUGCUUUCCGUUCUUCUUGAAGUUCCCCUUUUUCCCUUUGCCCUUUUCUUGAAACUAGUGAUCUUGUCAACCAUCAACACUUGAUGCUUUUCUUGAUUUCUACCUUCAUCGAUUUCAGCAUCACGAAGAGCUUGGGAAUCGUUUCCGUUAUCCCUUGCAUAUUAUAGUUCAUCACGAUGUUCCAGUAACUUGGUGAUAGUGACUAGAGAACUCUGUCAAUCACUAUCUUAUCUGGAAGAUUAACUCCCACUUGAUUCAAGUGAUUGUAGUAUUCAGACAUUCUGAAUACAUGCUCACUAGCUGAGCUAUUCUCCCCCAUCUUGUAGGCAAAGUACUUGUCAGAGGUCUCAUACCUCUUGACACGGGCAUGAGUCUGAAAUACUAAUUUCAACUCUUGGAACAUCUCAUAUGCUCCAUGGCGUUCAAAACGUCUUUGAAGCCCAGACUCUAUGCCUAAAGCAUGGUGCACUAAACUAUCAAGUAGUCAUCAUAUCAAGCUCGCCAAACGUUCAUAAUGUCUUCUGCUCCUGCAAUCGGUCUGUCACCUAGCGGUGCAUCAAGGACAUAAUUCUUCUGUGCAGCAAUGAGGAUAAUCCUCAGAUCACAGAUCCAAUCUGCAUCAUUGCUACUAAUGUCUUUUCAACUUAGUUUUUCUCUAGGAACAUAUCAAAAUAAACAGGGAGCUACAUCGCGAGCUAUUGAUCUACAACAUAGUCAUGCAAAUACUAUCAGGACUAAGUUCAUGAUAAAUUAAAGUUCAAUUAAUCAUAUUACUUAAGAAUUCCCACUUAGAUAGACAUCCCUCUAAUCAUCUAAGUGAUUACAUGAUCCAUAUCAACUAAACCAUAACCGAUCAUCACGUGAGAUGGAGUAGUUUUCAAUGGUGAACAUCUCUAUGUUGAUCAUAUCUACUAUAUGAUUCACGCUCGACCUUUCGGUAUCAAUGUUCCGAGGUCAUAUCUGCAUAUGCUAGGCCCGUCAAGUUUAAUCCGAGUAUUCUGCAUGUGCAAAACUGUCUUACACCCAUUGUAGAUGAACGUUGAGCUUAUCACACCCGAUCAUCACGUGGUAUCUCGACACGACGAACUUUGGCAACGGUGCAUACUUAGGGAGAACACUUUUACCUUGAAAUUUUUAGUGAGAGAUCAUCUUAUAAUGCUACCGUCAAUCAAACAGACUAAGAAGCAUAAAGCAUAAACUUCACAUUCAAUCAAAAUAUGUGACAUGAUAUGGCCAUGAUCAUCUUGCGCCUUUGAUCUCCAUCUCCAAAGUACUGUCAUGAUCUCUAUCGUCACCGGCAUGACACCAUGAUCUCCAUCAUCUUGAUCUUUAUCAAUGUGUCGUCACAUGGUCGUCUCGCCAACUAUUGCUUUUGCAACUAUUGCUAUCGCAUAGUGAUAAAGUAAAGCAAUUACAUGGCACUUGCAUCUUAUACAAUAAAGAGACAACCAUAACCAGAACGAUAGUUCGUCAAGUUAGUGUUGUUUUAACCUUCUCAAGGACUGGGCGUAGCCACACUUGGUUCAACUAAAGUUGGAGAAACUGACACCCGCCAGCCACUUGUGUGCAAAGCACGUCGGUAGAACCAGCAUCGCAUAAGCGUACGCGUAAUGUCGGUCCGGGCCGCUUCAUCCAACAAUACCGCCGAACCAAAGUAUGACAUGCUGGUAAGCAGUAUGACUUGUAUCGCCCACAACUCACUUGUGUUCUACUCGUGCAUAUAAUAUCUACGCAUAAACCUGGCUCGGAUGCCACUGUUGGGGAACAUAGUAAUUUCAAAAAAAAUCCUACGCACACACAAGAUCAUGGUGAUGCAUAGCAACGAGAGGGAAGAGUAUCAUCCACGUACCCUCGUAGACCAUAAGCGGACGUGUUAUGGGAACGCGGUUGAUGUAGUCGAAUGUCUUCAUGAUCCGACCGAUCCAAGUACCGAACGCAUGGCACCUCCGAGUUCAGCACACGUUCAGCUCGAUGACGUCCCAUGAACUCCGAUCCAGCAGAGCUUCACGGAAGAGUUCCGUCAGCACGACGGCAUGAUGACGGUGAUGAUGUUGCUACCGACGCAGGGCUUCGCCUAAGCACCGCUACGAUAUGAUCGAGGUGGAUUAUGGUGGAGGGGGGCACCGCACACGGCUAAGGGAUCAAUGAUCAACUUGUGUGUCUAUGGGGUGCCCCCUUCCCCCGUAUAUAAAGGAGUGGAGGAGGGGGAGGGCCGGACCUCUCUAUGAGCGCCCUAGGGGAGUCCUACUCCCACCGGGAGUAGGAUUCCCCCUUUCCUAGUAGAACUAGGAGCCCUUCCAAGUAGUAGGAGUAGGAGAGAAGGAAAGGGAAAAGAGAAGAGAAGGAAGGAGGGGGCGCCGCCCCUCCCCCUAGUCCAAUUCGGACUAAGCCUUGAGGGGGGGGGGCGCAGCCUCCCAUCUCUCUUUUCCCUAAAGCCCAAUAAGGCCCAUAUACUCCUCGGCGAAUUCCCGUAACUCUCCGGUACUCCGAAGAAUACCCGAAUCACUCGGAACCUUUUCGAUGUCCGAAUAUAGUCAUCCAAUAUAUCAAUCUUUAUGUCUCGACCAUUUCGAGACUCCUCGUCAUGUCCCCGAUCUCAUCUGGGACUCCGAACUACCUUCGGUACAUCAAAACACAUAAACUUAUAAUACCGAUCGACACCGAACUUUAAGCGUGCAGACCCUAUGGGUUCGAGAACUAUGUAGACAUGACCGAGACUCGUCACCGGUCAAUAAUCAAUAGCGGAACCUAGAUGCUCAUUUUGGUUCCUGCAUAUUCUACGAAGAUCUUUAUCGUUCAAACCGCAUAACAACAUAUAUUGUUCCCUUUGUCAUCGGUAUGUUACUUGCCCAAGGUUCGAUCGUAGGUAUCUCAAUACCUAGUUCAAUCUCGUUACCGGCAAUUCUCUUUACUCGUUCCGUAAUGCAUCAUCCCACAGCUAACUCAUUACUUACAUUGCUUGCAAGGCUUAUAGUGAUGUGCAUUACCGAGAGGGCCCAGAGAUACCUCUCCGACAAUCGGAGUGACAAAUCCUAAUCUCGAUCUAUGCCAACUCAACAAGUACCAUCGGGGACACCUGUAGAGCAUCUUUAUAAUCACCCAGUUACGUUGUGACGUUUGGUAGAACACAAAGUGUUCCUCCGGUGAUCGGUAAUUGCAUAAUCUCAUAGUCAUAGGAACAUGUAUAAGUCAUGAAGAAAGCAAUAGCAGUAAACUAAAACGAUCAAGUGCUAAGCUAAUGGAAUGGGUCAAGUCAAUCACAUCAUUCUCCUAAUGAUGUGAUCCCGUUUAUCAAAUGAUAACUGAUGUCUAUGUUUAGGAAACAUAACCAUCUUUGAUCAACGAGCUAGUCAAGUAGAGGCAUACUAGUGACACUCUGUUUGUCUAUGUAUUCACACAUGUAUUAUGUUUCCGGUUAAUACAAUUCUAGCAUGAAUAAUAAACAUUUAUAAUGAUAUAAGGAAAUAAAUAAUAACUUUAUUAUUACCCGAUAAACAUUUAUCGGGUAACGGCGCCAGAAAUGGCAUGUGGACGGGAGAGAGUUGUAAAUAUUGAUAGAUCGAACACAAAAUAAAAUAAAUUGCGUGGUAUUUUUGGAUUUUUGGUUUAAUAGAUCUGAAAAUAAAGGCAGAUAAAAAUAGAUCGCGAAGGCAAAUAAUAUGAGAAAGAGACCCGAGGGCCGUAGGUUUCACUAGUGGCAUCUCUCGAGAAAAAUAGCAAACAUUGGGAAACAAAUUACUGUUGGGCAAUUGAUAGAACCUCAAGUAAUUAUGACAAUAUCCAGGCAAUGAUCAUUACAUAGGCAUCACGUCCAAGAUUAGUAGACCGACUCCUGCCUGCAUCUACUAAUAUUACUCCACACAUCGACCACUAUCCAGCAUGCAUCUAAUGUAUUAAGUUCAUGGGAAAAUGGAGUAAUGCAAUAAGAACGAUGUCAUGAUGUAGACGAGAUCCGUUUAUCUAUGGUGGUAGAUAUAGAUCCCAUAUUUUUAUCCUUAGUAGCAAUGAUACAUACAUGUCGGUUCCCUUUCUAUCACUGGGAUCAAGCACCGUAAGAUCGAACCCACUACCGGGCACCUCUUCCCAUUGCAAGAUAAAUAGAUCAAGUUGGCCAGACAAAACCCAAAUAUUGGGGAAGAAAUACGAGACUAUAAGAGAUCAUGCAUAAAAGGGAUAAAAGAAACUCAAAUACUUUUAUGGAUAUAAAAAGAUAGAUCUGAUCAUAAACUCAAAGUUCAUUGAUCCCAACAAACACACCACAAAAGAGUUACAUCAUAUGGAUCUCCAAGAGACCAUUGUAUUGAGAAUCAAGAGAGAGAGAUGAAGCCAUCUAGCUACUAACUAUGGACCCGAAGGUCUACAAAGAACUACUCACGCAUCAUCGGAGAGGCACCAAUGAAAGUGGUGAACCCCUCCGUGAUGGUGACUAGAUUGGAUCUGGUGGUUCUGGAAUCUACGGCGGCUGGAUGAAUAUUUCGUCGACUCCCCUAGGGUUUUGGGAAUAUUAGGGUAUUUAUAGAGCAAAGAGGCGGUCCGGGGGGCACCCGAGGUGGGCACAACCCAUCAGGGCGCGCCUGGGCCUCCUGGCGCGCACUGGUGGGUUGUGCCCCCCUCGGGGCACCCCCCCAGGCGCAGCCAGGGCCCGUUGUGUUCCUUUUGGCCCAUAAAAAUUCUUUGUUAAGUUUCGUGGCAUUUGGACUCCGUCUAAUAUUGAUUUUCUGCGAUGUAAAAAACACGGAAAAAACAGGAACUGGCACUUGGCACUAUGUCAAUAGGUUAGUACUUAGUACCAAAAAAUGAUAUAAAAUGACUAUAAAAUGAUUAUAAAACAUCCAAGAUUAAUAAUAUAACAGCAUGGAACAAUCAAAAAUUAUAGAUACGUUGGAGACGUAUCAGAGACAUGGAGUCUCCCUAUCUUAGUCCCUUACGAGUCUGGAAAUAAUGACCGGUGUCAUCAUUGACCUUUAUCCCGGCACUGCCUUUCUGUAUGAAUGAAUCCACUUGAGACCUCCAGGUAUCAUUGAGUCCCUUCAUACGUAAGGCUUGUAGGAAGGGCCAUUUGACCUUAUCAUAAGCUUUUUCAAAAUCCACUUUGAAGACAACCCCAUCGAGUUUCUUCAAGUGGAUUUCGUGCAAUGUUUCAUGUAGGACUACCACCCCUUCUAGGAUUUGUCGUCCUGGCAUGAAAGCAGCUUGAGUGGGUUGCACAACCGAAUGCGCAACUUGCGUCAACCUAUUCGUGCCAACCUUUGUAAAGAUCUUAAAGCUUACAUUGAGAAGACAUAUUGGUCUAAAUUGCUCAAUGCGAACGGCUUCCACCUUCUUUUGCAACAAUGUUAUUGUUCCAAAAUUGAGGUGGAACAAAUUUAGGUGGCCUUCAAAUAAAUCAUGGAACAUAGGCAUGAGAUCACACUUUAUGAUAUUCCAACAUCAUUGAUAGAAUUCGUCCGGGAACCCAUCUGGCCCGAACGCUUUAUUACGUUUCAUUUGUGUUAUGGCAUCGAACACCUCUUUCUUAGUGAACGGGGCAGACAACACCUCAUUCUCUUCUAAGUCGAGUUGUGGUAUGUCCCUGAUCACAUUCUCAUCAAGAGAGACAAAACUUUCUUCGGGUGCUCAGAAAAGUUUCUUGUAAUAUUCAGAAAUGUAUAGUUUUAGAUUCUCCUGUCCUACAAUUGUACCCUCAUCUUGUUCCAGUUGCAUUAUCUUUUUCUUCCUAUGCUUCCUGUUGGGGAUAUUACUGCUGGGCAUAAACCGGCUAAGAGAGGCCGGAUUAUCCCCAUAAUGAGUUAUUGUAUUUGAAGCCCAUGAAGACAAAGAUGGUGGCGCUUUAUGAAGACCCUGGGACCAAAGGCGGAUUAAGGUCUAUAGACCUAAACCGACAUUGAUAUGUAAACUUGUGAUGUAAGAUAGAAAGACUAGAGACCGAGCUAGACAUGUUUAUGAGUCGGCCUCGGGAUUCUGUAAACCAACGGGUGUCAACCUAUGUAUAUAAAGGGACGACCCGGCGGCGGUUUAGGGACAACAAACAAUAACUCGAGAGCCAGGCAAAGCGGAUUCGCUCCCUGGUCAUCGAACCCCAAGCAAUUCCAUCACAACUGGACGUAGGCUUUUACCUUCACCGUAAGGGGCCGAACCAGUAUAACCCCUUGCAUCCCUUGUCCGCUUUAACCCCUUUAAGCUAACCCGUAGCGAUGACUCCAUGACUAAGUCCUUUCACGAGGACAUCUGCCGUGACAAUUCCACGACAGUUGGUGCCCACCGUGGGGCUAUCGCACGAUGGUUUUGAGUUCUUGAAGGGCAUCUUCGAAGGACUCAAGGGAUACACUAUGGGCCGGAUGACCAAGAGUCGUCGCGGCAAGCUCUACAUCGAUGACGCAGGUUGGGGCCCCGAGGCCGGCUCGAUCGAGUACGGGUACCGGGUCCCCUUUGGCGGAAUACACGUCUUCAUUGGCAAUAUCGGUGAACCGGUCCCUGAGCUAGACAUCUGCACCGACAUCAUCGAGACGGCUCAGCGUGUGAGACCUGCUCGCAUUUGGCCUACCGUGAAACGUGCCUUCGUGGGAGUCAUCCACGGGGCAGAAUCUGAGGGUAGAUCGGUAUCUGGUGGUGAAACCGUCGUUUACUCUGAUGACGAAUCUUCAACCGAAGAAACCGAGUCACUGUAUCAGUUGCAUGAUGGCCGGAUUAGCGAUGGUUCCGAUGGCGACAGUAUUCCGGACCUCCUUGAACCGUCGAGCCGAGUUGCGACCUUCAUGGCCGGUACGCAAUCGGUGCAACAUUCUUCUACCGCCGCAAUGGUGAUUUCCGGUUCAGCAGCGGCAACACCAGCAGGAGCAGGGGGUUUUGCGCCACCACCGGCUCAGGUUUUGUCUGAUUUGUUCGAUGCUUUGGCAACAUUGCUAGCGGCGGAGGUUGACGCGGCAAACCAGGAUCAGCAUAACGCGGAGAUUGCAAAGGUAAAAGAUUAGAUAGCUCAAGCUAAGGCGGAUCUAGCAGCAGAGAAUACCAGGAUGGCCGCUGAGCAGGCCGGAUUAGAGGCACAAGCCUAUCGGCUUAUGCUGGACCAAAGUGCGUCAGAUGAUGUCAUGAGGAGACGGUACCAAUCUCACCUGCCGCCAAUUUAUGAGGGAAGAAACCUCUUUAACACGCCAGGGGCGGGCACCAGCAACCAGCCCGUGGUAAACCGGGCGGAGCCACCUGGAGCAGGGGCUUCGGUUUAGCCGCGCACGAUGGAUCCGCCCCCUCAGCCUCAUCAGAACGAUGUCCCAUCACGCACGUCUCAACGCCUCCGGGUCAUUACUCUAACCCGUUGGAUAACAUCGUUGCCGCCGCUUUGUGAUUGGCAGCUCUCCCGAUCGAUGGCGAGUCCCCAGUAGCAGUUGAAACACGACGGGCUAGGGAGCUCCUUUAGACGGCCUUGACUCAGUAGUAGGCUUAUUCAUAUAGCCGCCAAAGGAUUCAUUCUACUCCCCACCCGAGCCAGAGUUACAGCAGACUUAUGGAUGAACCGGUCGUAUCAAGCAGUGCAUGGAAUCGUAAUCCGCCCCGUGGUCAUAACCCGGCGGGUGGCGGUGGUGAUGCUCAGGAUGUGGUGGAUCGCGCUAGGGCACGUCGAGAGGCCGAGUUAGCGGCGCAGCAUGAAGCCCGCCAACUUACUCCGGUUCGUCCAACAACGUCGGUGGAACCAAGAGUUACCUCCAGUUCUUUAGGGGUACCGUGUCUCGGCCCAGCACUGUGCAAUGUACGGCUGCCCAAGGAUUUCAAAGGCCCACGUAAGGUGCCGAAUGACACUGCCGAUUUAUCCCCCGAGUCAUGGGUUGAAAGCUAUGAGAUGGCAAUGGAGAUGCUGGAUGUCGAUGAUGCAGCGUGUGCCAAAUACUUUACCAUGAUGUUGGAGGGAACAGCUCACACAUGGUUGAAAAACCUGCUGGCCAACUCCAUUGGUUCGUGGCCCGAGUUAAGGGCCCGGUUUAUCCAGAAUUUCAAGGAUACGUGCAAGCAGCCCAUGUCAGUUGUGGAUUUAGCUGCAUGUGUCCAGGAGGAAAGAGAGUCAACAACCCGUUGGGUGCGCCGGGUUUUGGAGAUUUUGCAUUCAUCAGACCGCAUCAACACUGAUACAGCAGUUUUAACAUUGGAAGGCAACUGCCGGUUUGCACCUCUAAAGUUGAAGUUGGGACGGCUCAAACGUCAUUGCAAUGACAUGGGAACGCUUAUGGCAGCUCUGGUGAAGUAUGCCAAUUUUGAUAGUACCAAGGACCCUGAGUCUGACGACGACAAGACAGGGAAGGGAAAGAAGAGCGGCAGCACCAAGGGGCAGCAGCAUAACCCGGCGGGUCACGGAAACAACGGUAAGCAUAAAGCGGAUAGUAGUCUAGAUUUUGUGGCUAAUACCAACGCGCAGGACAAAGGCCAACGUCGUAAGGGAAAACCUCCCCCGCAUGGUGGAGUACCAAGUCCCAAUCCGGAGCGCCUGUCUCACCUGUUAAACCAGCCUUGCCCGAAGCAAGGAUCGCGGGAUAAGCUGGCCACGCACCUCUGGAAGGAUUGUUAUAUUAUGCAGGAAUUCAAAAAUUCAGAUUUUAUUCAGUAUGAUCAUGGACCUAGCGGCGGUUCAGGCCCCGAAUCUCAUGGGCCGGGUUACGGUGGAGGCAGUUCCGGUUCAGGUUUUCACGGUAAUCAGAGCGGACAUGGCAAUCAAGGCAAUCAGGGCAACCAAGGUGGUUAUAAUCAUCAGGGGAAUCAGCAGCAACAGCAGCAGUAGGGUUACCAAAGCAACCCGAAGAAAUUGAAUAGUGGGCAGUACCAUGUCUUCACCACAAGUCUAUGCAGGCGCGAUCAGAAGCUUCAUAAAAGGGCAGUGAAUUCCGUUGAACUGGCAGUGCCCUGUUAUCUGCGCUGGUCUGAACAACCCAUCAUGUGGAGUCGAGAGGAUCAUCCUACCCGGGUCGAUAAUCCGGGUCAUCUAGCCUUAGUGGUGGCACCUCAGGUUGGGGGUACAAGUUCACCAAGGUACUCAUGGACGGAGGGAGCAGUAUCAAUAUCCUUUAUUAUGAAACCUUCCGUCGCAUGGGGUUGACAGAUAAUAAGAAUCUUAAACCGUCGAACACCGUCUUUCAUGGCAUGGUGCCUGGUAAAUCGGCGUACCCAGUUGGUAAGAUAGCUCUGGAGGUGGCUUUUGGAGAUGAGCAUAACUCGAGAUCAGAAACAUUUACCUUUGAAGUAGUAAAGAUCAAGAGCCCAUAUCAUGCCCUAUUUGGACGGCCGGCUUAUGCCAAGUUCAUGGCAAGGCCCUGUUAUGUUUAUCUGCAACUCAAGAUGCCGGGUCACAAGGGAACCAUCACGGUACAUGGAAGCCGUAAGAUCGCUUUGGAAUGUGAAGAAGGUGAUGCGGCUUAUGCUGAGUCAAUUUGUGCAACAGAAGAGUUGAAGUUCUACAAGGACAAUGUUGAUCCGACAGAUAUGACUUCGUUGAAGAAACCAACUACAGAGCAUGAUCUGUCCUUAAAGUUUAAAUCGGCUGACGAGACUAAGCUGGUUGACUUUGUUCCUGGCAAUUCAUCUCAGCAGUUUAGUAUCAGUGCUAACUUGGAUCCAAAAUAGGAAAGCGCGCUCAUCGAGUUCAUCCCUGAGAACUGGGACAUCUUUGCGCGGAAACCCUCUAACAUGACAGGUGUACCAAGGGAACUCGCUGAGCACACUCUUAAUAUUUGACCCCAAGUUUAAACCAAUUAAGCAAUUUCUCCGCCGGUUCAAUGAAGAAAGACGCAAGGCCAUUGGUGAGGAGGUAGCCAGGCUCUUGGCGGCUGGGUUUAUCAUUGAAGUAUUUCAUCCUGAUUGGUUAGGUAAUCUGGUGCUGGUACUUAAGAAGAACGGCACUUAGCGUAUGUGUGAGGACUACACAGAUUUGAACAAGGCUUGUCCGGCAGAUCCUUUUGCUCUCCCUCGUAUUGAUCAAAUCAUUGAUGCUACGGCGGGUUGUGAGCGUUUGAGUUUUUUGGAUGCAUACUCUGGUUACCAUCAGAUCAAAAUGGCAGUUAAGGACCAGGAGAAGACAACUUUUAUAACUCCUUUUGGAGCCUUCUUCUAUGUAUCUAUGCCUUUUGGGCUCAAGAGUGCCCAGACAACUUAUCAGCGCUAUGUGCAGAAUUGUCUUCAUAAUCAGAUUGGCCGCAAUGUUUAUGCUUAUGUGGAUGAUAUUGUGGUGAAAUCCAGAAAGAGGAGACAUUUAUAGAUGACUUGAAGGAGACCUUUUAUAACCUCCGGGUUUAUAAAAUGAUGCUUAAUCCAGCCAAGUGUGUCUUUGGUGUACCAGCAUGAAUGCUCUUGGGCUUUCUGGUGUCUAACAGGGGCAUUGAAGCUAAUCCGGAGAAAAUCAAGGCCAUAACCUCUUUGGCUAAGCCAAAGUGUAUCAAUGAUGUUCAACGCCUGGCAGGCCGGAUUGCAGCUUUGAGCCAGUUUAUCAAUCGCCUUGGGGAGAAGGCCAUCCCCUUAUAUCAGAUGCUAAAAAAGAUGGAUGACUUUGUUUGGAGUGAGGCACAAUGCAGCCUUUGAGAGUCUAAAGCGACAGCUAGCUGAGCCUCCUGUCCUUGCUGCUCCCGUUGAUAAAGAGCCCUUAUUGUUAUAUGUGGCUGCUAAUGCCCGGGAUGUUAGUGUGGCUAUUGUUGUGGAGCGCAAGGAGGCUGGAAAGGAGUGUUCGGUUCAACGACUGGUUUAUUACAUCAGUGAGGUGCUUAUUGAGUCUAAGAAGAGGUACCCACAUUGGCAGAAGCUGGUGUAUGGGGUCUUCAUGGCGAGCCAGAAGCUCAAGCACUAUUUUCUGGGUCAUCCUAUCACUGUGGUCAGUUUUGCCCCUUUGGGGGAUAUCAUCCAAAAUAGAGAAGCAACUAGCCGGAUUGCCAAAUGGGCUAUUGAGCUUGGACCUCACGGGUUAAAAUAUACGCCUCGCACAACAAUCAAAUCCCAAGCACUUGUGGACUUCAUCAAUGAUUGGCAGAGUUGCAGGCACCGGAGGAAAAACCAGAUAACACUUAUUGGACUAUUCAUUUUGAUGGGUCCAGACAGCUGGAAGGCUCGGGGGCUGGAGUCAUAUUAACUUCCCCACGAGGUGAUAAGUUUUGUUAUGUUCUCCGUUUAAUGUUCCCUUGCACUAACAAUGCAGCUGAAUAUGAGGCCCUGCUCCAUGGUCUUAGGAUGGCUAAGGAGAUGAAUUUAAGCCGGGUUAAAUGCUUUGGUGACUCGGACCUGGUGGCUCAACAGGUGUCUGGCACUUGGGAUUCCAAGGAUCCACUCAUGGCGUCGUAUCAACGAGAGGUGGACAUAGUAGCUGGUCAUUUCAAGGGUUAUCAGGUGGACCAUAUAGACCGGCAAAAAAAUGAAGUGGCGGACGCUUUAAGUCGCUUAGGCUCUCAACAUAAACCGGUGCCGCCUAAUGUCUUCCUGGAUGUGCUGCAUAAUCCAUCCGUCAAGAUACCUACAGAGGAGGAUUUGGUUGUUCCUGAUCCGGAGGCUCAAUUGGUGGUGGCUCUUCAUGUUAUCCCGGAUUGGACAAUCCCAUACCUGGCGUACAUGAACCGGGGCGAGUUACCAGACGAUGAAACUUUGGCCCGGCAGAUAAUCCAGCGAUCCAAGUCAAUGACCAUUAUCAAUGGGGAGUUGCACCACUCUAGCGUAACAGGGGCGUUUCAGCGUUGUGUGUCUCCUCAAGAGGGCUGUGAGAUUUUGCGUGAGAUCCACGAAGGAGAUUGUGGUCACCACGCCGGUUCAAAAUCCUUGGUAGCUAAGGCAUUCCAUCAUGGUUUUUACUGGUUGAUGGGUCAUGUUGAUGCUGAGGAUUUGGUAAAGAGAUGUGACGGUUGUCAGAAGUUUGCACGCCGCGCCCAUGUUCCGGCUCAAGAAUUAAGGAUGAUUCCAAUUACUUGGCCGUUUGCAACUUGGGGGCUGGAUAUGGUUGAGCCCUUUAAGAUGUCCAAGGACAAGAAGACCCACCUGCUAGUGGCGGUUGAUAAGUUUACCAAGUGGGUAGAGGCAGAGCCAGUCAGUAAGUGUGAUGCUGCCACGGCAGUUCAAUUCAUCAAAAAGGUGAUCUUCCAUUUUGGUUUUCCACACAGCAUCAUCACUGAUAAUGGUACUAAUCUGUCCAAGGGUGCUAUGGAAGAAUUUUGUCAACGUGAGCACAUCCGGCUUGACGUAUCAUCAGUGGUUCACCCCCAAUCUAAUGGUCAAGCAGAGAGAGCCAAUCAAGAGAUUUUGAGAGGCAUCAAGCCCCGGCUUAUGGUUCCUUUAAAGCGGACGCCGGGCUGUUGGGUUGAGGAGUUACCUUCCAUGUUAUGGAGCAUCAACACCACACCGAAUAGAUCUAUGGAUUACAUGCCCUUCGUCAUGGUUUACGGAGCAGAGGCGGUUCUCCCUAGUGACAUCCGUCAUAACUCGCCCCGUGUGGCGGCUUACGUUGAAGCUGAUAAUGAGAAAGCACGUCAGGACUCACUGGACCUGUUAGAUGAGGAGCGUGACCUUGCAGCGGCACGUUCGGCGAUUUAUCAACAAGAUCUGCGACGUUAUCACAACCGUUGGGUUAAGACCAGAACUUUUCAAGAAGGUGAUUUGGUGCUCCGGCUCAUCCAGGAUCAGAUUGAUAUGCACAAGUUGUCCCCACCUUGGGAAGGACCUUUUGUGGUCAGCAAAAAUCUGCACAACGGAUCAUACUACUGUCGGCAUUCUGGGAACGGGGGUCCCCAGACUUGCCUGUCUGCGGCCUGCGGCGUGGCUCAAAGGGGGCCCAGCACGGCCCAUCUUCAUCAACACGGACCCAAGACCCUCGCGAGGGGCCAAGCCUCGCGGGGCGGAUGACACGGAGCUUCCUCAGGCACGGCCUCAUCAGGCUAGCUCGUGAGGAGGCGGAGAAAUCAAGGCGGGGUACCUCACGAGGUGCCCGUGAUGCAAGCCAUGAAGACCAAGGGUGCCAGGCGGGCGCCAGCCCGCGCAGUCCUCCUUUCCUCUUUGGUGCAAAGGGAGCAAGCGCAGGCGAGAGCAUCAAGCAAAGGCACCUGUUUCGGUGCAACGAGACCAAGACCAACCCAACGGUAGUGAGGAAGUCAUUGUGGAGUCCAAGCCAGCGUCACCACCAGAGUCUUUGGCAGGCGAGGACCAACUUUAGUCAGGAUAAGUGUACCCGAUGUUCCCCUUCAAAAUGGCCAAUUGUUGGCGCCCUUCCCGCUCAAUAUUUGGAAAGAGGCCCAGGGCCUUUGCCUAUAAAUAGGACUAGCCACCCCUAGAGGAGGGGGGAUGAGAUGCGAUCAGGUAGAUGAGACCAGGGAUAAGAUCAUAGCGGCAAGAGAGAGAGAGGGAAGGGUGACUGAACUCCUCCUAGCAGUUCAUCCCCCCAGCCAAGAACAGACCCUCGCGAGGCUGUUCUUCCUUGUAUUGCUCAUCAUCAUCAGCCCAAGAGGCAAUCCACCAAACCACACUGGAGUAGGGUAUUACACCACAACGGUGGCCCGAACCAGUAUAAACCCUGUGUCUCUUGUGUUGUUCUUUCCAUAGCUUAGAUCUUAGCGAGGCGGUGGGGUGCAGGUAGGUAGAAGGCGAAAUCUCCACGCGCACCCCAGUGUUCGAACCUCAAGGGUCUGCCGGAACCCGAAACCUGACAUUUGGCGCGCCAGGUAGGGGUGCACCGGAGUUUCCCCUUCCGCCACCACCACGACCUGCCCCGCGAUGAGUAGCGCGUCGCCCGCUCCGGCCGCCGACGCCAACAUGGGGGCCAGGGGGCUCCGAGCCCUGGCCCCAGCUCUGCAACGAGUACGGUGGCCGGACAAGUUCAAGCCAACGACGCCGCCGCGCUACGGCGGCGCGAUUGGUCCGCUGGCCUUCUUGCUGGCGUACAAGGAGGCCAUCCUCGAAACCGGAGGUGAUGAUAGGGUCAUGGCCAACUGGCUUCCCAUGGCCCUGACCGGCGCUCCGCGCGCAUGGCUGCUCCACCUACCGGUAGCCUCCGUGGCCUCUUGGGAGGAGCUCCGCGGCCUCUUCCUCGCCCACCAUGCUACACCAACACCCCCGGUCGUCGAGGCCCUCCUGGGCGGCUCGCAGGAGCCGCCUACAAGUCACCACAUCAAGCCGUUCAUCCGCCGGGUCAGCACCGCUUCCACGCGGCAGGGGGCUCUCCCGGAUCGGGCGGCGUCUAAGGCUAGUCUGACCUUCAGCUCGGAGGACCACCCCUCCAACUCGGCCUGCUCGGGUGCGCUCCCCAUGCUGUGCACCCCCACCAUCUGCCAGGUGGCCGUCACCAGAACUCUCAUCGAUGGCGGCGCGGGCCUCACCGUGCUCUUGGUUGAGGCCUUCAGCCUCCUUUGCAUACCCCUGGAACGGCUGCAACCCAACCGGCCCUUCUCAGGCAUUGGGGGCGGGUCAUCUAGCUCCUUGGGACAGAUCCGGCUCCCAGUAACCUUCGGCACCUACGACAACUUCUACACGGAGCUGAUCGACUUCGACAUCGCCCCCAUCGGCCUCCCCUACAACGCCAUCCUCAGCUAUCCAGCGCUGGCCCAGUUCAUGGCCGCGACGCACCCGGCGUACAACCUCAUGAAGAUGCCCGGGAGCAGCGGUGUCCUCACCAUGCACGGGGACACCGGAGACGCGCUGCGAGUGCUCAAGCUCGCCUACAAGACGGCGGCGUCGGCACAGCCCGCCGACUCGGAGACCCCCGAGCCCAAGGGGGCUGCACUCGCCAAGAAGAAACAGUUGUUCACCGAAGACAAGGCAGAAACCAAGCAGAUACCCGUCGAUGAGGACGGGUCCACCAACGCCACUUUCACCAUAGGCGCCAACCUUGAGCCCGAGCAGGAGAAGACCCUGGUCAAGUUCCUGCACGCGAACAAGAAGGUAUUCGCUUGGGAGCCUGACCAGUUGGCGGGGAUCCCUAGGAGCGUAAUCGAGCAUCACCUCAACGUGUGCCCCAACGUGCGCCCUGUGAAGCAGAAGGCAAGGCGGCAGUCCACAGAAAAGCAGGCCUUCAUCGUCCGAGAGACCCGCAAACUAGAAGCCGCUGGGGUCAUUCGCGAGGUCCGAUACCCGGAUUGGUUGUCCAACCCUGUCGUUGUGCCAAAGAAGGGAGGGAAGGAGUGCAUGUGUGUCGACUUCACCAACCUCAACAAGGCAUGCCCGCAAGAUCCGUUCCCGCUCCCCCGCAUCGACCAGAUCGUCGAUUCAACCGCAGAAUGCGACCUGCUAUGCUUCCUGGAUGCCUUCUCUGGGUAUCACCAGAUCAAGAUGGCGAUAGAAGACGUCGAAAAGACAGCCUUCCUAACCCCGUGUGGGGUGUACUGCUACACAUGCAUGCCCUUUGGGCUGCGUAACGCCGGGGCGACCUUUCAGCGGCUGAUGCACAUCACCUUGGGCCCGCAGCUCAGGAAGAAUGUUGAGGCUUACGUCGAUGACAUUGUGGUGAAGUCUCGGGAGGUCAGGACCCUGAUACAAGACCUGGAGGAAACCUUCGCGAGCCUCAACGCGGUGAACCUGCGGCUCAACCCAGAGAAGUGUGUGUUCGGAGUCCCCUCAGGCAAACUCUUGGGUUUCCCCUUGUCCCACCGAGGCAUCGAGGCUAACCCGGAAAAGGUCAAGGCGGUUGAGGACAUGAGCCCGCCAAAGACCCUCAGAGAAAUGCAGAAGCUCACUGGGCGCGUGAUCGUGCUAGGGCGAUUCAUCUCCAAGUUGGGGGAGCAAGCGCUGCCCUUCUUCCAGCUAAUGAAGAAAAAGGGGCCCUUUGAAUGGACCGAAGAGGCUGACAAGGCUUUCCAAGAUCUCAAGAGAUACCUGACCAGCCCUAUGGUCAUGGUGGCUCCGCGCCCUCAAGAGCCCCUGGUGCUUUACCUCGCCGCCACUCCCUACUCCGCCAGCGCAGCCCUGGUGGCGGUUAGGGAGGAGCGUCGAAUCAAAACCACAGUAGCAGCCCGGGACAAGGCAAAACAGGGACAAGGAAGGCCCACAGAAACCACCACCGCGGCUGAGGAGGAUCAGCCGCCGCAGAGGAGUGCACCGGAGGUGAAAGAGGCCCCUCUCCCAGAUAGCCAUCCUCCGGAGGCCUCAUCGCCUCAGGAGGCGCCAUGGUCUCUGGAGGGCGCCACCAGCACUGACGCACCCAACCUCAUUGAGCACCCAGUGUACUUCGUCAGCAUGGUGUUGCGGGACGCGAGGGCACGGUACCCCAUGCCUCAGAAGCUCCUCCUCGCGCUACUGGUGGCCUCGCGCAAGCUGCGGCACUAUUUUUAGGGUCACCCCAUCAAGGUCGUCUCGUCAUACCCCUUGGAGAGAGUGAUCAGGAGCCCUAACUCAGCCGAAAGGGUCGCUGAGUGAAACAUAGAACUGCAAGCAUUUCAGCUUGAAUUCAGCACGACCAGAGUCAUCAAGGGAGCAGCAUUAGCUGAUUUUGUGGCAGAAUGGACGGAGGCACCAGGCCUCAAGGCCGACAAGGAUCGAUCCCUCUCCCUGGGAAGCGAGGCGCCAGAAGGUUGGGUCAUGUACUUCGAUGGGGCGUUCUCCAGGCAUGGCGCUGGAGCUGGGGCGGUGCUUAUAUCGCCCACUCAGGACAAGCUCUACUACGCUGUACAGCUCUGUUUCCAGCAAGGUGAAAAGGUCUCCAACAACAUAGCGGAGUAUGAAGGUCUAAUAGCGGGCUUGAAGGCCGCAGCUGCCUUGGGGGUGAAACGCCUCACCAUCAAGGGUGAUUCGCAGCUCCUUGUCAAUUUCUCCAACAAGGUGUACGAGCCGAAAGAUGAGCACAUGGAAGCCUACCUUGCGGAGGUCCGCAGGAUGGAGAAGCAGUUCUGGGGGUUGGAGUUGCAGCAUGUGCCCCGUGGCACCAAUCAGGAGGCCAACGACAUCGCCAAAUGGGCGUCCAAGCAGUUGCCUCAGGAGCCUGGUGUCCUCGAGGAGUGACUCUUCAGGCCCUCGACCCUGCCGUCAUUGUCAAACACGGCUCAGCCUCGGGAGGAGCUCCCCCAGCCACCUGCUUCAGGAGCCCCGGUCUGUGGCCCGGCCUCAGGAGCACGCCUGCUCCUGAUGAUGGAGCCUCAGGAGGGGGACUAGAUCACAGAACUCUGGAGUUACUUAACACAAGGGACCCUGCCGGAGAAGGAGGAGGAGGCGGAGCGUGCGGCACGGCUGGCCACGACAUAUUGCAUCAAGGAUGGAGAGCUCUACCGGAAGCGACCAAACGAUGUAUCCCUGCACUGCAUCUCCAGGGAGCAAGGAAAGGAGCUGCUGGAAGACAUACACGGCGGAGACUGUGGACGUCCUUCAUCAUCACGGACCCUGGUCGGCAAGGCGUUCCGCAGUGGGUUUUACUGGCCCAUCGCACUCAAUGACGCCAUCGAACUGGUGAAGGCUUGUGAGGCCCGCCAGUUCCACGCCAAGUAGAUCCAUCGGCCGGCAGGAGGCCUGCAGACUAUACCCCUUUCGUGGCCGUUCGAAGUCUGGGAGCUAGACAUCCUGGGCCCGUUUCCUCGGGCGCCCGGGGGCUACCGCUACCUCUACGUCGCCGUGGACAAGUUCACCAAGUGGGCUGAAGUAGAAGCCGUCCGCACCAUCCCCGCGGGUUCUGCGGUCAAGUUCAUCAGGGGCAUCGUGCGCCGGUUCGGGGUGCUGAACCGCAUCAUCACAGACAACGGUUCGCAAUUCACCAGUAACCUCUUCAAAACAUAUUGUGCUAACCUUGGAACGCAGAUAUGCUACGCUUCGGUGGCACACUCCCGAAGCAACGGUCAGGCCGAGCGAGCCAACGCAAAGGUCCUGAGGGGCCUUAAGACCAGGACAUUCAAGAAGAAGCUGGAGGCCUGCGGCAGAGGUUGGUACGAUGAGCUUCAGUCCGUGCUGUGGUCCAUCCGCACAACCGCGACCAAGCCGACUGGAGAGACCCCGUUCUUCCUGGUCUACGGAGCCGAAGCAGUCCUCCCUCACGAGGUCAGAUGUUGCUCCGCAUGGGUCCUGGCGUUCGACGAGGCGCAGCAGGACGCCAUGCGGGGGAUGGACCUCGUGCUGGGGGAGGAACAUCGCCAAGAAGCCGCGCUGCGAGCGGCGAGGUACCAGCAAGCACUGCGACGAUACCACUGCCGCAACAUCUGCCCCAGAACUCUCGAGGUAGGAGACCUCGUGCUCAGGCAGGUUCUCUUAGGGAGGGACUGCACAAGCUAUCUCCCAUGUGGGAGGGCCCGUUCAAGGUUGUUCAUGUUUCCAGGCCUAGCUCCGCGCGCUUGGAGACUCAGGAGGGGGUGCCGGUUCAGAACGCAUGGAACAUCCAACACCUCCGGAGGUUCUACCCUUAAAAAGGCCCAGAGCCUAUGAAGAAGGCGAAUGCCUGUGAAGCUGUCGCGUCUUGGAAAAGGCCCAGAGCCUGUGAAGAAGGCGAAUGCCUGUGAAGCUGUCGCGUCUUGGAAAAGGCCCAGAGCCUGUGAAGAAGGCGAAUGCCUAUGAAGCUGUCGCGUUUUGGAAAAGGCCCAGAGGCUGUGAAGAAGGCGAAUGCCUGUGAAGCUGUCGCGUUUUGGAAAAGGCCUGGAGCCUGUGAAGAAGGCGAAUGCCUGUGAAGCUGUGGCACUUUGGAAAAGGCCCGGAGCCUGUGAAGAAGGCCAACGCUUGUGAAGCUCGCCGCCCGUGAUACUCUCACGUAAUAAUGAGUUGGGGCUGUACAUGCCCCGGAGUCUCAGGUGCGCUGGCCUCAGGCCCUGGGGCUCCCUCCCACACCUAGUGGCAGCACUUAGCUCCGCGCUGGUGAGAAGACAUCGAAGACUAGAUUAGGUGCUGGACGCGGCUUUUUCAUUUGCUUUCCACAGUUGGCUUGUUCAUUCUCAUCCGAAGUUUUGUUGAAGCUGUCGCCGUCUUUGACUUGUGGUUCUUUGACUUUUCACUCUCCUGCCUCGAUUUCUCUUAUGCAAGGCCUCGCGAGGGGGGCAGCCGAGCGCCCUCGUGAGUGUUUCCGUCCUAUUCGUUCAAAGGUUUCGCGACCUGGGUCCAUUACAGGAGCACCCCUCCAGUCUGUGCCCCACAGGCACCGCGACACGAUCAAAGGGCCUGGGUCGGUCGCCCCCCCAUGGCUGGGGCCGGGAACUAUCUACGCGCGCCACGUAGCUGAAGUUACGAUAACGGAAGCAAAGCGAUGAUUAACAGCAAUAACCCAAACACGCCCCCGCGGGGCUCCACGCUACUGUCUUUUUACGCAGGAAAAAGGAAAAGAAAGAGCAAAUCAGGCACAGCUCGCCUCACACUGGCCUGCAGGGAAGACUCGGGCUGCCUCCGGGGCUCAGGCAGACUCCCUCUCGCGCUUCACCGAGGCGCGACGACGGGCAGGCGCGCUACCACCUUCCAGGUAGGUAUGAUGGCGUGGAGGCUGAUCGCGGCCACCGCUAGAAGAGUCGCUGCCUGAAGAAGAAGGAGAAGCAAGGGGGGAUGAACUGGAAGGGCGCGUGCCGUUCCGUACUUAUAGCUGGCGAAGGCCAAUCGUCGACCUCCACGAUCGCAGGUAAUCAUGACUCGCUUUGCAUGCAGGGACUUGUCCGAUCCAUGCAGUUGCCGAGGCGCCGUGGGGAAGUGGAGACGCCCACGUCCAAUCAACUGCCACGCGGCGCCCAAGGCCGCAGGCUGUUAGGGCCCGCGGCGCUUCGCUCUUGCCCUUUCGCCUCCCAGCACGGCCAAGUCCGGGCGCACCUUGGGCCCAGGGGCUACUGUCGGCGUUCUGGGAACGGGGGUCCCCAGACUUGCCUGCCUGCAGCCUGCGGCGUGGCUCAAAGGGGGCCCAGCACGGCCCAUCUUCAUCAACACGGACCCAAGACCCUCGCGAGGGGCCAAGCCUCACGGGGCGAACGACACGGAGCUUCCUCAGGCACGGCCUCAUCAGGCUAGCUCGCGAGGAGGCGGAGAAAUCAAGGCGGGGUACCUCACGAGGUGCCCAUGACGCAAGACAUGACGACCAAGGGUGCCAGGCGGGCGCUAGCCCGCGCAGUGUCCUCCUUUCCUCUUUGGUGCAAAGGGAGCAAGCGCAGGCGAGAGCAUCAAGCAAAGGCACCCGUUUCGGUGCAACGAGACCAAGACCAACCCAACGGCAGGGAGGAAGUCAUUGUGGAGCCCAAGCCAGCGUCACCACCAGAGUGUUUGGCAGGCGAGGACCAACUUUAGUCAGGAUAAGUGUACCCGAUGUUCCCCUUCAAAAUGGCCAAUUUUUGGCGCCCUUCCCGCUCAAUAUUUGGGAAGAGGCCCAGGGCCUUUGCCUAUAAAUAGGACUAGCCACCCCCAGAGGAGGGGGGAUGAGAUGAGAUCAGGUAGAUGAGACCGGGGAUAAGAUCAUAGCGGCAAGAGAGAGAGAGAGAGAGAGAGAGAGAGAAGGGUGACUGAACUCCUCCUAGCAGUUCAUCCCCCCAGCCAAGAACAGACCCUCGCGAGGCUGUUCUUCCUUGUAUUGCUCAUCAUCAUCAGCCCAAGAGGCAAUCCACCAAACCACACUGGAGUAGGGUAUUACACCACAACGGUGGCCCGAACCAGUAUAAACCUGUGUCUCUUGUGUUGUUCUUUCCAUAGCUUAGAUCUUAGCGAGGCAGUGGGGUGCAGGUAGGUAGAAGGCAAAAUCUCCGCGCACACCCCAGUGUUCGAACCUCAAGGGUCUGCUAGAACCCGAAACCCGACAACUACCUUAUCGAUGUUCGAGAGCAUAAAGACUCACGUAAAUAUAGCUCAUCUUUGGCAUUACAUUACUUGAGCCACAGGCUCUUCUUAUGUACAUAGUUAUGAUAAUGUAUAUAUUAUGAUCAAUAUAAUAAACCAACGCCUCAGCUAAAGCGGGGUAUCCGUUGUCUUCUUAUAUCAUGUGUGGCUACAUGGGGGCUUUUGUUCAUAAAGCGGAGUCCGGUUUACCCCUUGAUUCAUCUUAUACAGCUUUAUAUAAAAAAAUCACUUGGGGGCUUGGUCGUAUUCGAACCAUAGCUACACCUCUUGAUCGGCUCAAAGCCAAAAGGAAAAUUACUUAGGGGCCAAAGAGAGUGUUGCAAAAGAACAACUCAAACAUAGGCACCCACUGAGCACAGCUCAAAAUAUUGCUUGGGGAUUCUUUGCUUCGCAAUGAACACAGAAUCUACACUUGUAAUAGGCUAUCAAGCCAUGGCUUGGAAGCCUGGUGUAUACACCUAAAACCCCGGGUUAGCCUACCUUUUUAAGUAAGCCACUCCGUCCAGGUAAACCUGGUAUGACCCGUCAAACUUUUGACAAGUCAAUCUCAUAGACCCUAAACUUGUCAAAGUUAAAACGACGAUUGGUUAAAGAUUGAGGUCCAUCUUAAAAGGCUUUGUAAAAUGGUUUAACUCAGCGGCCUGUAGCCCAUGAAAAGCCUUGAAUUUGGGGCCUGGAAGCCCAUGAAAAGCCUCGAGUACAAAGUUUUCACAUGCUUUUAUUUGCAAAAAAAAAUUCUCUUUUGAUGAGAUUUAUUAUGGUUUUGAUAAACCGGCGUUCCUUGAUCCGGUUCAAUUUUCAAAUACAAGUUGCCAGUGCAUGAUCAAGCAUAAAUCCGGUGCUUAUUAACACGGUCUGGUUUUCGAUUACAAAUCGCCAGUGUUACAUACGGAUAAUCCGGUGUUUUUCAUAAAUCAGUACAGUUUUAUCAUAAACCGACACAAUGUGGAAGGAGUUAUCAGUACUCAUGAUUGGGGUUGUUGCCAUCACUACAAAAGUUGGUCAACCAGCAUUGUGAUUCAAUGUCACAUGUAUCAUUUAUUUUCAUAUUUGAUUAUCUUUUUAUAGCCUUGGUUAUCAAUCCAUAGGACAUAUGUUUGGGCAUCAUGACCCGUCCGGUGAUAAACCGCCCAGACACUUUCAAAUUUCUUAUAUGCAGGAACAAUUUAAAUAGCACCGCUACGGAUUAUGAACAUAAUAUCUCCUAAAGCAUGGUGGAUUCACAAUAUCAGGCAAAAAAAGUAUGCACGAUGGCAUAGCAGACCAAGUGUUUUCAACUAGCCUAUUACAAGGCGUUUUAAUGCCCAACAGAAUAAUUGUUUUCGGCAAAGGUGGCAGUACGCCGAAUGCUAAACCGGUCUCCAGAUUAUGACUCGUCACCAGGCUGAGUUGACAGCUGCGGAUCGUCCUGCGCUGGUGCAUCUUCCUCCCCUCUACCUAGUGGCUGGAAGUCAAUGGUUGCCCAAUUGAUUCCAGUUAAGGCUUGGAACACAGCUUCGUCACUUAUAAGGUUUGAGGGGUCAACAUCAGGGGCAUAGGUGUGCUUACGGAUUGGCGGAAUAAGAUCUUCUACAUCAUGUGUCGGCGCAGGAUAUCUUUUCUGAUCAGAAUCAUAAACCGGCUGAUAAUGAGAGAGAUCUGUUUCAUCAGCCAAUUUUCUCGCUAUGGGGCGCAUUUCCCUCGUCAGCCUUCGAAGAUCAUCAUUGUUAAAUUCUGAGCCAUCUUCCUUCACGCUAGGGUAGCCGCGGCCUAUAUCUAACAGUUCAAGAUCUGGUAUCCGUGCCUUCGCCCGGAUUAGCGCGGUCAGCGCACCUGACCUGGCAGCUGAUCUUUUUAGUUUGUCCAACCGGGCAGGCAACAUAGAAAGCUUCUCAAUGAUCUCUUUUAUUAAGGUUGGAGGCGGUUUAUUAUGCGCAGCGGUGCAAAUGGCCCAUUGAGCUCUAGAAUAUAGCUGCUCUAUCAGUGUAUAGGCAGCCUUCAGCUUCAUCCGUAUGUCAGAGACCAGAUGGGUAAUGCGAGUUCCUGUGUCAUUACAAGCAUCAGUAAUCGGCAACCGAUGAGAUAAUUUAUAUUGAAAAAGCUUCAGGUGAGGUACUUACCAAAAACAGCAGCCGUCAUGGCAUUGAUCUGCCGCUUUAAACCGGUCAGCUCUUCCACCACCGGUUUAAGAGCUGCCUCCACGUCUUCGGCUCUCUUUUGUAAAGUGGUUUUCUCUAUGUCCCAGUCUGCCUGUUCCUUCUUCAAAGAUUCUUUCAGCUUCUCCAUGGUUGCUAAGGCACUAGCCAGUUCUUCUUUGGCUUUGGAGGUCUCUGCUUGCUGGGUUUUGAUAUUUUCUUGCAGGUCAGCGAUUUGGGCUUCCUUUUUGCUCAGCUUAGCCUAUAAGAGACAAACAUGUUAUGCGAUGGCAAUGAAAUUUGGAAGUCCCAAGCGCAUAACAAGUUAUACACUUGGCACUUGGGGGCUAAUGCCUAUUUUCUUGAUUCUCAGAAUUUUUUUAACAAGUCCCAAGCACAAUACAAGUAUUAUUCUUGACACUCGGGGGCUAAUGUAUGUUUGCUCAAAGUAACACUGGUUAAAAGUGCCGGUUCAGCUUGGAAAGAUAAAUCAGCCCUUGGGGACUACACUGAUGAAAGUUUCAAUAUUAUAAAUUAAAAGUACCAGUUCAUCCCAAAAGAUAAACCGGCCCUUGGAAUAUAAGCAUGAAGAGUUGUGAUAUUGCAAAGUCCCAGUUUAGAUGGGCGCCAUAAAUCGGCCCUUGGGGGCUACUGGAGUUGGUACUAAAAAUUUGGACAUAAAAGAGAAACAGUUAUGAAGUUACCUCAUAUCGCUCCUUCAUCAGAUUCACUAAACUGGCUUCGUAGUCACGGUUAGUGUAUAGACGGUUUAAGAAACCAGAAUGAAGUUCUUGGGCGUUGAGGUGGGCAUAGCUUGACAAGUGUGUGCUCCACUUUCCUUUGCCCAUAGCAGAGAGUUCCUCCUUGGCACUAUGGUUUGACAAUGCAACAUGAUUGCCAGGGGUGGUGUGGCCAACACCAGUAAUUAUAACAUCAUCUUCCUUGUCACCAACAGCCUUUACCGGAGUCGACGAUUCAUGAGCAGCCUUAAAGGGACUUGACGGUCUAUUAUCAGUUGGGACCGGGCUUGCCGGUUUAUCAAUAUGACCUGUUACAUCAACUUCUGCUUGUUCAACAAAAUCAUGGUCCUCAAGGGGUGGAUCAUCAGGCAUGGCAUCAGCAUUGGUUCUUUCCAAUUCUGAAGUUCCCUCCGGUUCAACAACCACAUGGUCGUCAGACGGUUUAUCUACACGAGCCUUCUUGCUAGGUCUGGCCUUGGCUCUGAAAGAAAAAGAUAUAAAGGUCAGUAUAACAUGUAAAUAUAAGGCGUCAAAAGGAGUAGGUUUACAGUGUUUACCCAGGAACAAUUUUAAGUGGGGGAAGCUGUGUGGCUGUAGACUCGCCGGAUGAUGAAAGAAGUGUUCCCUGAUAAUUUGAAUCGGAUGGAUUAAGAGGCUGUCGGAAAUAACCCGCCUUGGGAUAAGAAGUAUCGGAAGUGUUUGAGACCUCAGAUCGACGCUUCUGGCGUGUUCGUUAACCGGCCAAAGUGAUUACUUGGCCACCAUGUCGGGUUGUGCGGCGAGCUUCGUGUUGCUGCUUCUUCAAAAGAAAGUUUGGGUCCAAGUGAGCUAGGGGGUGAGAAAAUCUUACUUUCUGGAUUGCUUUAUGGAUUUUUUGUGUUGGCAGAGGAUCUGAACCAGAGGAAAGGAUAAUUACCUCUGCAUCAUCAGCUUGGCUGCCUUCGGCGUCAUCCUGAUAAUGAUUAUUGUCAAUGAGGUGUAUGAAAAAUGAACCAAGAGAGUCAAGUUCUACCUCUGCGUCCGGGUCAUCAAGGUUGUCAUCAAGGUUUAACCCGAUGGGUUCAGCUGCCUUUUUCUUGGCAGGUCUUUUAACAACCUUCGUCUUUGGUCGAGGGGUCUUGGCCGGUUUUUCCUGUGGUUUCUUCUUCUAGAAUGGGUCGUCACCCUGUUAAGAGAUUAACAGAAGAUAUAAAAUAUUACACGAAUAAGAAUAUCAAGUACAAGCAGGAGUAAGGUAAGUCUUACAGCCGGCCGUUUAUUGGAAACGCAGAAGAGACUAAGCCCUGUUUUGCUGCAGACAGCCACUGGUUCAUCCAACAUCUUCUUAACACAUUCAGUAACUUCAGCCUCUGUUAGCUGAAUAUCAAUGUGUCAUUGAGGAUCUUUUAAGUCCCCUGUGUACUAACACAUUAAACUGGAGGGACGGCUUAACGGUAAAAUACUCCAAGUUAUCCAGCAACGAGCAAAAUCAACUCCUGUCAGACUGUUAGCCAUAAAGGCUCUGAGCUUGGCGAGUUGUGGAGCAUAUGUGGACCAUUCCUUGGUAGUCAGCCGUUGUGGAAGUGGGUGCAUGUUGGUAAGACGGUGAGCACGGUAACCCGGCAGAGGGUUCUCCUCUUCAGGGGAAGUAUCGUUGUAGUAGAACCAAGUCUGGUUCCAAUCCUUAGGAUGACUGUGAAGUUUGGCGUGAGGAAAGCUGACGUCCUUCCUUUUCUGAAUGGAGACACCACCAAGUUCAGUGUUGGGCCCGUCUACAAAUUCAGUACAACGGUUUAAAUAGAAAAAAUCCCAGAGCAGUUCAACAGUUGGCUCUUCUUGUAAAUAGGCCUCAGAGAACACUUGAAAAUGGCAAAUAUUGGACACAAAGUUAGGUCCAAUGUCUUGAGUGGAUCUGGAAGCUGGCAAGCACAUCACGGAAAAACUUGGACCUGAGCAGUUUAAAACCAAGGCUCAUGUGAUCAACGAAUACCACUAUCUCGCCAUCCUUGGGGGUAGGAGGAUUCUCUGGACCAGGAACUCGCUAGUGGAUUUUGCUUUGUUUUGGUAAAGCGCCAGUUCUGACACAUCUAUCUAGCUGCUCCUCAGUAACCCGGGAAGGGACCCAGUUACAUGCAUAGAACUGUUUGGCCAUUUUGAAUAAGGAGCUGGAAAAGAUUGAUGCCGGUUUAAGACUCAUGAUUAGCAAGCAUAAAGCAUAGCAGGUUAAGGAAAAAGCAUUCAAGCAUGCAAAAUUGUUAUACUGGAGUCUGACAAUGGAGGACGUGCAAAGAUAAAUGAAUCGACGGUUUAAGAGGGGACUAAUGGUACCUACCGGAUUAUCAUCUUUCAAAAAGCUAAACCGCCUAUAUUGGUAUGAAAGGCACAGAUCUAAAAUACCUAAGUAAGGGUAAAACAAGUUUUCACAAAUUGGUAUGAUAAUUUUAGAUCUGCGGUGCGACAGAAAACUAGAAUAUAUUCAGACCUAAACUUCAGGUACUUAAGCAGUUCAUCAGGAUCAGAUGAGUCUUUCUAUAUGAAGGGGAUGCUCUAAUUAAGAAAAAGUAGUGCCGACUAAAAAGGCACCGAAAAAUAUCAGAUCUAGCUUGCCAUUUGCGCUACUGAGAAGAACAACUCUAGAACUUCAAAGAGCUCCGAUGAGUGCAAACCCUAAUGAUAAGAUCUAGGGUGGAAGGAGAGAAGGCUUACCAGUGUCAAAGGAACAGCGGAGAGGCGCCGCAACUUUCUGGUACGAUCAGGGUGAUGCAGCGGCCGUUGUUGGGGCAGAUGCGAAGGUCGACGGCGGCGGCAGAGCUCCAACGUUCGGGCGACGCGAGGAAGAAGACGAUGUGAAGGGGCAUGAAGGGAAAAAUGAAAAGGACCCCUUGUCCUUAUUUCUAAGGUGAAUGGAUAAGCGAUAGGCGCGGAAACUGAGGAGCCCAAAAAAUGGGUAUACAACAAGGUUGUUGCCUCGAUUGUUGGAGGAUCAUUAAUGAAGGGUUUCUUCGGUUUUAAUAAACAGAUGAUGCCAUGGCGGUUUAUCAUGAUCCUGGAAGAUGAAGUCAUGGUGGUUUAUGAGACUUGCAUGAAGGUGCUGAAGAAGAAAUUUUCCUAAGUAUUGAAGACUGACAUGAACCAGUUCAAAUCAAUUUGGGGCCUAAUGUUGGGGAUAUUACUGCUGGGCAUAAACUGGCUAGGAGAGGCCGGAUUAUCCCCAUAAUGAGUUAUUGUAUUUGAAGCCCAUGAAGACAAAGAUGGUGGCGCUUUAUGAAGACCCAGGGCCCAAAGGCGGAUUAAGGCCUAUAGACAUAAACCGACAUUGAUAUGUAAACUUGUGAUGUAAGAUAGAAAGAGUAGAGACCGAGCUGGACACGUUUAUGAGCUGGCCUCGGGAUUCUGUAAACCGACGGGCGUAAACCUAUGUAUAUAAAGGGACGAACUGGCGGUAGUUUAGGGACAACAAACAAUAACUUGAGAGCCAUGCAAAGCGGAUUCGCUCCCUGGUCAUCGAGCCCCAAGCAAUUCCAUCACAACUGGACGUAGACUUUUACCUUCACCGUAAGGGGCCGAACCAGUAUAACUCCUUGCGUCCCUUGUCCGCUUUAACCCCUUUAAGCUAACCCGUAGCGAUGGCUCCACAACUAAGUCCUUUCACGAGGACAUCUGCCGUGACAAUUCCACGACACUUCCCAUUAGCAAUCAUGUGAAAGAAUUGUGUAUUAUCAUCCCCUUGGACGAUUUUAGACACUUUUGCUCUAAGCGCCCAUUUCAUCUCCUUUUCUCUCAUGAGGGUUUGCAACUUCUUCUCGGCCUCAUUCUUAAUAUCUCUCUCGGAAGUAUUAAGAAGGAUCGAUUCUGCUUUCACACCAAGUUCAUUAAUAAUUCUUAUCAAUCUUUCCUUUUCCACUUUAUAUAAACCACUUUGGUGUUUGGCCCAGCCUCUCAAAAAUUGGCGCAGAUGCCUAAUUUUGUUUUGCCAUCUCUCCACACUAGAAGACCCUCCCAUGUCUCUGGCCCAUUCAGUCGUGAUGAGAUGGAUCUUGCCGAGGAGCAGGAGCUUCAGAGUCAGCGUGUGCCCGAAUGCUACGUGCAUGCCUGGCUUCCAGUCCGCGGAUUCUGUGUUCACCGGUGUCAGAUCGUCCCUCUUUCUUUUCUUCUUCUUAUUCUUCUUCUUCUUCUUCUUCCUAUUGUCGACACGUGGGGUAGCAAGACCAAUGGAGGCCCUGAGAAGCUUGGCCAGGCGCUUGACGGCUGCAGGGCAUAUGCCGUAGUGCGCCCGAAGGAUCCUGGACACCUUGACCGGCGGAGAUGCCAACGACACGCACACCAAGGUGGCCGGUUCAGGGUGCCUCGCAAAAACGGCGACACACUCCACGGCUACUUGCGUCGUGAGGGAGAUGGUACUGAACGCCGCCUCGUCCGGGCUCCUGUUACGGUCUUGCUCAUGGAGCUGCGUGGCACCGAGGGGGUCGCCUUCGGCCAGGCACAGGUAGCGCAUUGCCUCUUUUUUCUCCAAGUAGCGGUACUGGAAGCAAAGGAAGGUGACAAGACCCUCCAGCGACUGUCGUUCCAUAGUCAUGGAGUCGACCGUCUCUCGGUACAACGGUAUAUCAAAGAUUUGUCUAUAUUUUGUGUUGGUCCUCACCCUAGAGAUGAUCGAAUCCUUCACAUCAUCCUCUUCCUCCUCGAUUUCCUCCUCCUCGGGGAUGGGUGUGUAGGAUAUGAUGUUGGCGAUGAUGUUGGACACCGGGUCGAGCAAGCCGAAGCACACGCCGGCCUUGAGGAGGCGUGUGGCCAACGAGGGUAUCCUCUCCGCUGGCAGCCGGUCGAGCGCCGCCUUGUAGAAACCGUGGAUGCGAUCGAGCAAGAUUCAUAUGUCCUGCCUGACGCUCUCAGGCGUGAUGCCGUAAGGCCAACUCCAACGUGCGACCCCAUCCGGACGUCCGUUUUUCCCGGAUUCUGUCCAUUUGGGUAGGGCAAUGGGGUCGUGUCCAGGCAUUUUCUGAGAUGCGGUGGCCGUGCUCCUAACAUGUGGACGCAUCCCAACCGCAUCCUGUCUGCGUACAUUUUUCUUUGCAAGCCCAUAUCUUUUUUUCAUCAUUGAUUUUUGAUACAUGGGAAAUACAUCACCAAAUUUUGACUACUCUUGUAAGGUAUCCAAACAAGAACCACAAGAAUACAUUUUAGAAGGUAUCCAACUUGCAUGACUGGUCUUGUAAGUUUGAUUAGUGCCUUCUCGAUGCAUUCAUUGUUGAUCCAUGGAGGCUCGAUCUUGUGUGCUUCUUUCCUCUUCGAGUGUAAAGAACUAGACGUUGCUUCCUCACAUCCACUCUCGUGUCUAGCCUCUAUUCUAGCAACAAGUGCACUAGUCUCAUCUCUAGCCUCUAUGCUAGCUAAAAGUGCACGAACAUCUACUAAAUUGCGCUCUAUCAAUAUAUCAAUGUACUCUUCUUUCCAAUACCAAAACUUGCAUCCAUUCUACACAAUAAAAUUUUUAGGUUAGCACAACCAAAGCUAAAGUAGCACAUACCCCAUCGUUUGAGCACCUGAUGAACACCCAUUUGGAAUGUUCCGGCGUUGUAGACACGCGAUGCAAGACCUUCUUUGGGCAGUCAUCGCACUUAAUGAGUGGCAACGGUGCGCCAAUGAGCUUUAGGGCCAGCACCGAGCCUGGCCGACCGCCAUUCAUGUAUUUGACGGCAGACCACCGACGGUGUAGAUCCGAGCAGCUAGAGGAGGAGCCAAUACCUGCAUGCGGCCUUGCGGCCUUGUGCGGGCCUUCCGGCCUGGUGCCCGGCCAGUCCAUGGCACAGUGCGGCCUCCCACAACCGGGAGAGCUCAAGCUUGACCGGAUCCGCUCCAAAUCCGACCAUCGGGUGCGCAAAUCAGGAGGCCGUGGUUGGGUAGCUCGGGGGCGUCAAGGGAAAGGAGGCUGGGCGAGCGCACGUCCGAACUGCACAGCUGCAAUGGCAGCGUGCAGCGGUGGCAACGACGAGGGGCAAGAAUGGAGAAGAGUGGAGGGGGUGUGAUACGUCUCCGUCGUGUCUAUAAUUUUAGAUUGCUUCAUGCCAAUAUUGUACAACUUUCAUAUACUUUUGGCAACUUUUUAUACUAUUUUUGGGACUAACAUAUUGAUCCAGUGCCUAGUGCCAGUUCCUGUUUGUUGCAUGUUUUUUGUUUCACAGAAAAUCUAGAUCGAACGGACUCCAAAUGGGAUAAAAACUGACAGAGAUUUUUUUUAGAAUAUAUGUGAUUUUUGGGAAGAAGAAUCAACGCGAGACGAUGCCCGAGGGGGCCACGAGGCAGGGGGCGCGCCCCGGGGGGUCAAGCGUGCCCUGGGCCUCGUGGCCAGCCCAUAAGGCGGUUGGUGCCCUUAUUUCACCGCAAGAAAGCUAAUAUUCGGAUAAAAAUCGUGUCCAAAAUUCAGCCCAAUCGGAGUUACGGAUCUCCGGGAAUUUAAGAAACGGUGAAAGGGCAGAAUCUGGAACGCAGAAACAGAGAGAGACAGAGAGACAGAUCCAAUCUCGGAGGGGCCCCUCCGCUGCCAUGGAGGCCAUGGACCAGAGGGAAACCCUUCUUUCAUCUAGGGGGAAGGUCAAGGAAGAAGAAGAAUAAGGGGGGCUCUCUCCCCCUCUCUCCCGGUGGCACCGGAACACCGCCGGGGCCAUCAUCAUCACCGCAAUCUACACCAACAACUUCACCACCAUCAUCACCAACUCUCUCCCCUCUAUGUAGCGGUGUAACCCCUCUUUUACCAGUUGUAAUAUCUACUUAUACAUGGUGCUCAACUCUAUGUAUUAUUUCCCAAUGAUGUAUGGCUAUCCUAUGAUGUUUGAGUAGAUCUGUUUUAUCCUAUGGGUUAAUUGAUGAUCAUGAUUGGUUUGAGUUGCAUGUUUUAUUAUUGGUGUUGUCCUAUGGUGCUCUCCGUAUCACGCAAGCAUGAGGGAUCUCUGUUGUAGGGUUUGCAAUAUGUUCAUGAUUUGCUUAUGGUGGGUGGCGUGAGUGACAGAAGCACAGACCCGAGUAAGUAGGUUGUUUGCGUAUGGGAGUAAAGAGGACUUGAUGCCUUAUAAUGCUAUGGUUGGGUUUUACCUUAAUGAUCUUUAGUAGUUGCGGAUGUUUUCUAGAGUUCCAAUCAUAAGUGCAUAUGAUCCAAGAAGAUAAAGUAUGUUAGCUUAUGCCUCUCCCUCAAAUAAAAUUGCAAUAAUGAUUACCGGUCUAGUUAUCGAUUGUCUAGGGAAAAAUAACUUUCUGGUGUGACAACAAGCUCUCUACUAAACCUAACUUAGUUGUGUCUUUAUCUAAACAGCCCCUACUUUUUAUUUAUGCGCUCUUUAUUAUCUUGCAAACCUAUCCAACAACACCUACAAAGUACUUCUAGUUUCAUACUUGUUCUAGGUAAAGCGAACGUCAAGCGUGCAUAGAGUUGUAUCGGUGGUCGAUAGAACUUGAGGGAAUAUUUGUUCUACCUUUAGCUCCUCGUUGGAUUCGACACUCUUACUUAUCGAAAGAGGCUAUAAUUGAUCCUCUAUACUUGUGGGUUAUCAAGACCUUUUUCUGGCGCCGUUGCCGGGGAGCAAUAGCAUGGGGUGAAUAUUCUCGUGGGUGCUUGUUUGCUUUAUCACUAAGUAAUUUUUAUUUGUUGUUCUUAGUUGUUUUCUAUCUUUAGUUAUGGGUAGGAAACGCAAAAUACCAAAAAAAUUAGUUGUACCUACUACACCAAUGGUUGAAGAACCACUCAAAAUCUAUCACACUCCUGAAGCUUUUUACUUGGUUCAUCUUUGAUCCCUAUAUGCUCGUGUUGAAACACCAACUAGCUUAGUUGAGGGAAAAUCUUUAGAUGAGCAUGCUUGUUAUGUGCGACACAGCUUAUCUCAAAAAGGGAAACUUUUACUGGAUCACAUUCAUCGUUUGCAAUGCUAUGCUUGGAAUUUAUGUGAAAUAUAUGAUGUUACUUGUUGUUCUAAAAACCCUAAGAAACACCUUCCCUACCAAUGUGAGUUUAGUGAUAAUGGAAUCGUAUCUUCAUAUGCUAAGGGUGUUUAUAAUUACUAUGAUGUUCAACAAAUUGAAGAAUUUGUUGCUUUUAAGGGUGCUUAUGAAGUUUCUUUUUUGAUUGAAAAGUAUGAUGCUACUCUUUACAAAUCUGAAAAAUUUGCCAUACUUAAAUAUUGUUAUGAUAAUUAUGCUUCUAAUGCCUAUGUUAAACCAUAUAUUGAGGACUCCUCCGCUGUCCAAGAAGAGAAUAAUAUUUUGCAGGAGUCUAUGGAAGAAGAAAUUGAUGAAACUGUGAGCUCAUUGGAUGAAAAAGAUGAUGAGGAGAGCGAAGAACAAAAGGAGGAAAAGCAGAUUAGCUAUUCGUGCCCACCUUCUAAUGAGAGUAACUCUCCAACUCAUACAUUAUUUAGCGUCCCUUCAUUCUUACCGAAGGAUGAAUGCUAUGAUGAUUGUUAUGAUCCCAUUGAUUCUUUUGAAAUAUCCUUUUUUGAUGAUGCUUGCUAUGCUUGUGGCCAAGAUGCCAAUAUGAAUUAUGCUUAUGGAGAUGAACUUGCUAUAGUUCCUUAUGUUAAACAUGAAUUUUUUUUUGCUAUUGCACCCACGCAUGGUAGUCCUAUUAUCUUUUUGAAUUCUCCCGACUACACUAUAUCGGAGAAGUUUGCGCUUAUUAAGGAUUAUAUUGAUGGAUUGCGUUUUACUACUACACAUGAUUAUUUUGAUAGAUAUAAUAUGCAUGUUCUUGCUGCUCCUACUUGCAAUUAUUAUGAGAGAGGAACUACAUCUCCGCCUCUCCAUGUUUCCAAUAUGAUAAAAUUACAAGAAACUGUUUAUACUAUGCAUGGGACUUUACUAUGUGUGUAUGAAUUGUUCUUCUAUGACAUGCCGAUGCAUAGGAAGAGAUUUAGACUUCGUCAUUACAUGAUAUAUGUUACCUUGUGCUCACUACUAAAUCAUAAAUCAUUGUUAAUUAAAAUUGGCUUUGAUAUACCUUGGGAUCCGGGUGGAUCCAUUACUUGAGCACCUUAUGCCUAGCUUAAUGGCUUUAAAGAAAGCGCUGCCAGAGAGACAACCCAGAAGUUUUAGAGAGUCAUUUAUUUCUGUUGAGUGCUUUUAUAUAGUUUAAAAACAAAAAAUUAAAGAGGGAAACCCAAAAAUUUUCAAAAAGGAAAGUGAAAGUGAGAAAGACAAGCAUUGUUGAAGUGGGGGAGCUCCUUGAACUUUGUUCAUGCUCACGGAAACUUUGUUAAUCUUGAUUACAGAAACUUUUCAACAAAAAUAAUUAUCCCCUUGUACAACUCCAUUGUAUUAUAAAAAUAAUGUGCCAAGAUUUGCCUUUAGGAUGUUUACAUUACUUGUUGGUUUGUGCGGUGCAGAACAGAAACUUUGGCUGUAGUGCGUGUCACAGCCCUGAAAUUUGCUUGUCAUUAGUUGCAUUAAGGCAGUCAUGUCAUCAUGUUUAAAUUUCUCAGAAAAUUGAAAUGGGGAUGACAAACCCUAGCACCAAAAAUUAAAUCAAAUAGGGUCAGGUUUAAGCCUUUUCAAUAAACCCAAAAUGCCUUUAAAAAUGUUCAUCAUUUUUAGAAAAGAUUAAAACCUCUGACAAAAAUGAUGCGCAUGUUUCAAGGUCAUUCAUGGAUUUUUGAAUUAAAUCUUAUCAUAUUUGAAUUUGGGCAUUUAAACACUAUAAAUAAUUUAAAUGCUCAAAUAAUGCUAAAUUUAAAUGUGGACCACUGGAAUAAUCCAUAGAGUGUCCACAAAUUAUUGCAGCAUUUUACAAAAUGCUUUAGUAUUUUUACUAAAGCCAAAACAGCAGCAGAAAAAUAGAAAACAGAAGAAAAAAAAAUAGGAAGGAAACCCACCUAACUUACCUGGCAGCCCAUCCGCAUCCCAACACUGUGCAACCUAGCAGCAGCCCAGCCCACCGCAGCCGCCACCGUCUUCAACGUCCUGCCAGUAGGCAGGAGGGCGUGUGCCCGACGCAUGCGCGCACACGCCGGCCACCUCCUGCUUGCCUGCACGCCGCUGGAUUCACCCGAGGGCGCCACGCACCCUCCCUCGACCCUCUGCACCUCCUCCCUCCUUGCAGCUCUCUCCCCUCCCCUCGCUCUCCCGAAGCAGAGCGGAGCUCGUCGCCGCCGUACGCCGUAGAUGCGGCCUCCGUGCUCCCCUCGCCUCCCCGACGUGUCCACAAGCAUCGCCACGCCUCCCUCGUCCUCUCCGUCUAGCCACGCCUCGCCGGAGGCCUUGCAUCGACGCCAUCUUCAUCGUCUUCGUCGCCGGCCACCGGAGAUGCCUCUCGCCGCCCCGCUCGCUUUGGUGCUUCCCCGAGCACGCCGAGGCCACCUCUGCAUCCACCGUGAGCCCCUGCCCCUAACCCCCCUCCUCUAUGCCUCAGUUGCGCCCCCUAGCCGCCAUCUCCACCGAGCCUGAGCACUCUGCUCCGCCGGCAACGCCGUCGUCGUGGCCACAGCCACGCGGGCUCAAAACCGAGUGCGUCACCACAUUUGCCACACUCCCAGGAGGCCGUAGCCCCUCUCCACGCCCAUGUUGUGCAUCCCAGCACCGAACCCGAGCAUGUCCGAGCUCCGGCGGCCACCGCGAGCUCCGUUCCGGCGAGCUCCGGCGCCCCCACGGCCACCCACCUACCUCCCUGGAUGCGGGCGAGUCCGGGCUACGCCCCGAUGCCCUUAGCCACCGCCCUGUUGCCUUUAGCGCGAGUCCGGCGCGUUGCCGCCGCGGGUUUGGUCGCCGUCGGCCAACUCCGGUGACAGCCGACGCGGCGGGGUUCUGACAGCAUUGGUAUCAGAGCCUGACUGCUUGUAGGAUUACCAAGCCAGACUGGUCGAAGUUGAGUCUAGAAAUGCUUUAGUUAUAUAAGGGAAUUGAUUGUGGGAUGGAACAUAAGGCUCUUUUUAUUCCUUAUAUCUCGUGCCCUCUGAUCUGAGUCACCCUCUUCUCUUCUACGGGGAUUAAGAACUAUGCUUCUCAUCUUUCUAUCAGGAUCACGUGUUACUAAACCAUAGUUGCCUAGGAUUGUUGGAUUUAAGCCUCAGUUUAGUUCCUACUACUUCCAUAUGUUCAUAGCUGGCCUCAGAACCUUGAUAUUGUGUUGUUGAGUGGUUAUGCCACCAUUUUGCAGGAUGUCUCAAAUCUUUUGAGCAUUUACAGCCGUUAUACUGUCCGAGUCAUCCCAGGUCUCCAAAUAGUCUGAUGCAAUUGCAAAUCCUUUCUUCCCAUUUCUGAUAUCCUUUUGGGCAAGAUUAACCACACUAAUCGGUGAGUUGAGGCACUCUGUUGCCUCGACAUAUAGGUUGGAGCUAGUAUGAUGACCCUAGGUGUUUUAGAGGAUCACCUAGUAAUCUAGCCAUGUCUUGUGUUUCUAGUGUGAUGAUUCUGGCCAUCAUUCUUGAAAGCAUCCCGUGAUGCCAUUUAAUUAGUAGGUAUUCUAUUCCUGGGUUUGAACCCGAGAUUCACUCCAGUCACCUCCUGUUGAUAGUGUUUGCUUAUUCCUUUAGGAUAUUAGUAACCUUGCGACAGUCCUCGAGGUCUGUGGUAUUUCCUUCUUCCAAAUACCAUGAACCAUUAAGGCAGAAGUUCUUUGAACCAAAAUAUCACAAUCAGAGUACUCUUGAGGAGUUCUCCAUUCAUAAUUGUGAUUCUGUCAGUUCUACCUUUCUGCAUGGGUUAUCUGGAAGAAACUUGUUAAACUUGGUUCGACAUAUUAAUCUAUGCAUCCACAACUCAGAAAGAUAUAUGUCCUCUUGAGUUGUCCCUCUUCAAUUGUAUUCCGACCAUCCUCUAUCAAUUGAUAGUCAGGAGUAAUUGUGCAUCCAUGUUAUCGAUGCUAUUAUUCUUGUGGUCCAUUAAGCCAUUCUAUUUCAGAAUGACUAGGAGAACAAACUCUAGUACCUCAUCCAUAUCCAGGAUUGGGUCAAAGUAGUUGUGUUCUGCAGAUCAAAUGCUAAUCCAGCUUUUGCUCUGUUCUACCGUGAAGUAUUACCCACUUUAUGUCAAGAAUAUUGUGAGAAUUGCACCAUCUCUUAUGAACUCUUGAUGCAGUGAUACUUCGCACCAUCAUCAUUCAUUUCUCGGUCCUCGUGUUGUUGUAACUAGAAUGCCGACAAGUGAACCAUGAUGUGUGAAAUCAAUACUCCUAGCAACUGUGUUGCUUGGUAGUUAUGGACAUUAUGAUCAUUCUCAGCGUGUUGGUUAUCGAAUCACUAUUCUAGGAUUGAUCGUGCUACCUUGUCCUUAUUCCUGGUGCACUAUUUGAUCUUGGAGUUAGGAUUGAAUUCAUUGCUUAUUUGAUCAUAUCGUCUUGCCCUAAAAAGCAAGAUUGUUCUCGAGCUUAGUGACAUAUCGGUGGUUCGUGAUUUUCCGAAUAUCUUCUCGGAGGUAUCACCAGGCUGUCACCUGAUCGCUAUGUUGAGUUCGUGAUCAAGUUGGUUUCUUGUAGCCACCCUCUUCUCCAAGAAUCUAUGUUGGAUACCCCUGAGCUAGUUGGUUAAGCUUAACAACAACUUGGAGAGUUGGAAGAUAAAAGCUUGUCCUACCACGCUCAUCCCUAAGGGAUAUCUUUUAUCUGUGUUGAAGAAAGAUAAUACCUUCAUCGAUUGAUCCACGUGAUCAAUUGUCGGCGCUAUUGUCUUAUCAAUCCUUUGAUUUGAGUGUGGGCUAUCGUCAAAUCAAAUCAGAACCAACGAUGUUCGUAAUGUUGUCUUACUCAUGGUUGAUCCCUCGAGCAUACACCAUUACAUCCUUUGGUCUGACCAAUGCUAUCACCGUGUUCACAUGAUGGUGGAAGUCCAGUGAUAUGGAGAUUUCGAUGAGUUGUUGUUGAGCCCAUCAGCAGCAUUUUGUCUCCCCCAUGAUUCAAGUUGAACAUUAUACUAGUGUUGGAAACUUUAUAAGAAUUGCCCUCAUGUCCCGUUCAUGAAGCAUAUGUCUGGUUGAAAUAUGUGACUUCCUCUAAUUCAUGUGCAUCUGAUGCAAGUUGCCGCCGUGGAUUCGAGAAAGCUUGUUUUGCUUCCUUUGGAGUCAUCCCAAGGUAGUCAUGCAUGUGCGAAGUAUUCUAUGGUUUGAUAGGCUCGCUACCUCCAGUCCAUAUGUGUCCCUAGCACACCAAGCUACUAAUUGAUUUGUUCAAGGAGAAGAAGUUUCUUCUUAAGAGCUAGACUUACGCAAGGACUUCGAUAUCCUCGUUGAUGGUUCCCCUUGAACUCGGUAGUGUUUCAUUGUAAGACUACAAGGUGACCAUGCUUGUCUAGGACAGCGUGUUCACAUGCUUGUAGCAGAACCGGCUCAUGUUUUGGAGCUUACUACCGUAGUUCAUUCCCCCGAGAGUCUCGCAACGUCAUCUCGUCGAUUUGUGUUGCAAACUUUUGUUCUCCUUUCUAGACUUGAUGAGUCUAGAAUAUCCUGACACCAACCAGAUCUGAAUCUCAGGCAGAUAUGAUGGUUGGAACACACUCCAAGAACUAUAAUAUUGCUCUCUCUGUAACCGGUAAAGUGGAUGUCGUGGCCAACACACCCAGACGGAAGACCUAUUAUUGUAGUAUCUUGAUUGAGGAAGUUGGCCACCUCCCCAUAAGGAUUUCAUAGGAUUUACUCCAGAAGUUGUUCCUUAUGGAUCUAUUGUAUUCCGAAGUCCGACCACUACUUGAUGGCUAUGUUGAUGCUUUAAAGCAUGACCGUGGUAACCAGUACAUCAAGGAGAACAUUAGAAGCGGAAUGUUAAAUGUCUCUCAGUCGAUCAUCCAGAUUUCUUUCCCUUAGCCUCGCUAAGGUGAAAUCUGAGAAAGGGUUGUCCUUCUAUGCAUCUGCAUUGUCCAUCACUAUUCGUCAAGGUAGUAAGAUGUGUUGCCAGGAUCCUCGACUCGGAUGUUGGUAGAACCUUGAUGAAUAUGGAAAUGCUCAAGUUCUUGAGAGCACACGAAAUCACUAGGAUUUAUCGUCGGCAUUAAUUGGGAUAUGCUUCCAGUUUCCUCGGUUAUGCUAUAACCUUUCCGAUAGUGGAAUCUCUCUCUACUGUUGGGUUCUCCCCAGUUACUAGAAUCAAUCCCAACAUUUGCAUUUUGUCCCCAGCUUGCACCCACCAUUGUGCCCUUUCACUAUGAUCCGCCUUCUCAGCAGUUGUUGUCCAAGAUCAUCUUCAAAAAGUGGACCUACCAUGGGUCCCAUCCAUUUUUCGAUGAUAAGCAAAAUCAUCCAUUACGUUGUCUUCAACAAGGUAGUCCACAUCAUCCAUUCGAACUCCGCCAAACGAUCGUUUGUCAUUGACUUAGGCUGGCAUAAAGAGUUUCAGUGAUCGUUAUAUCAAAAGUAAUUCUUUUUGCCACUUAAGGGAAUAGCCCCGUUAGGUAAUCAUGGCAACUUAUCUCCUCGCCGCUUUGACACUCACUCACCAUCUCACCUAAGCGUGGGAUUGUUGCCUACCAAUUUGGACCUUCGUCAUAUGUCCCUCUACAUCCCUUUUGAUAUGCAUGUUUCAUGUCUCAGCUCAAGAGAUGUUUUAUAUCUCACCCCAAGAGUUGAUCUUGAGUUGCUCGAUCUUUGAGAAGAUCGAUUCAUGUAGAGUUCCUGUCUGUCAUCAUCGUGUUGGAUGCAGAUCUCGAAAGAAAGGACGCCAAGAUCGAUCCGAAGCAAUGGAUCAUGAAGAUCAUGUUAGUUGUGCCCUCUGUCUUCUUACCUCAUGUCUUGAAUCUCGGGGCGAGAUUCUUGUUUAGUGGGGGUGAGUUGUCACAGCCCUAGAAUUUGCUUGUUAUUAGUUGCAUUAAGGCAGUCAUGUCAUCAUGUAUAAAUUUCUCAGAAAGUUGAAAUGGGGAUGACAAACCCUAGCACCAAAAAUUAAAUCAAAUAGGGUCAGCCUUAAGCCUUUUCAAUAAACCCAAAAUGCCUUUAAAAAUGUUCAUCAUUUUUAGAAAAGGUUAAAACCUCUGACAAAAAUGAUGCGCAUGUUUCAAGGUCAUUCAUGGAUUUUUGAAUUAAAUCUUAUCGUAUUUGAAUUUGGGAUGUAAACACUAUAAAUAAUUUAAAUGCUCAAAUAAUGCUGAAUUUAAAUGUGGACCACUGGAAUAAUCCAUAGAGUGUCCACAAAUUAUUGCAGCAUUUUACAAAAUGCUUUAGUAUUUUUACUAAAGCCAAAACAACAGCAGAAAAAUAGAAAACAGAAGAAAAAUAGAAUAGGAAGGAAACCCACCUAACUUACCUGGCAGCCCAUCCGCAUCCCAACACUGUGCAGCCCAGCCCACCGCAGCCGCCACCGUCUUCAACCUCCUGCCAGUAGGCAGGAGGGCGUGUGCCCGACGCGCGUGCGCACGCGUCGGCCACCUCCUGCUUGCCUACACGCCGCUGGAUUCACCCGAGGGUGCCAUGCACCCUCCCUCGACCCUCUGCACCUCCUCCCUCAUCGCAGCUCUCUCCCCUCCCCUCGCUCUCCCGAAGCCGAGCGGAGCUCGUCGCUGCCGUACGUCGUAGAUGCGGCCUCCGUGCUCCCCUCGCCUCCCCGACGUGUCCAGGAGCAUCGCCACGCCUCCCUUGUCCUCUCUGUCCAGCCACGCCUCGCUGGAGGCCUUGCAUCGACGCCAUCUUCAUCGUCUUCGUCGCUGGCCACCGGAGAUGCCUCUCGCCGCCCCGCUCGCUCCGGUGCUUCCCCGAGCACGCCGAGGCCACCUCUGCAUCCACCGUGAGCCCCUGCCCCUAACCCCCUCCUCUACGCCUCAGUUGCGCCCCUAGACGCCAUCUCCACCGAGCCCGAGCACUCUGCUCCGCCGGCGACGCCGUCAUCGUGGCCACAGCCACGCGGGCUCGAAACCGAGCGCGUCACCGCGUUUGCCACACUCCCAGGAGGCCAUAGCCCCUCUCCACGCCCCUGUUGUGCAUCCCAGCACUGAACCCGAGCACGCCCGAGCUCCGGCCGCUGCCGCGAGCUCCGUUCCGGCGAGCUCCGGCGCCCCCACGGCCACCCACCUACCUCCCUAGAUGCGGGCGAGUCCGGGCUACGCCCAGAUGCCCUUAGCCACCGCCCUCGUCGCCUUUAGCGCGAGUCCGACGUGUUGCCGCCGCAGGUUUGGUCACCGCCGGCCAACUCCGGCGACAGCCGACGUGGCGGGGUCAUUAGUGCUAAUCCCCGCCAGUUGGACCUCACCUAGUCACUGACAGCGGGCCCCGCAGCGGGUCAAAGCCGUAGUCAACGCGGGAUUAGUUUCUAUCCCACUGACCAGUGGACCCCACUGAUCAGGUUUGACUCUGACCCGGUCUGUUGACCUGCUGACGUCACAACGAUGUCAUGCUGACGCAGUUAACCUUUUUCUGGAUUUAUUCUUAUUCAGGAAUUCCAGAAAUUAGUUUAAACUUCAAAAAUUCAUAGUAAUUCAACCGUAACUCCAAAUGAAACAAAUUAUAUAUGAAAAAUUAUUAGAAAAAUUCAAGGAAUCUGUUUAUGGCAUUUGCAUGCAUGUUUGAACAACCUAGGGUUGCUGUACAGGGCAAUUUGCAUAAUUGACAUUUAAAAUAAGCACAUAUGGAGUUUGAAUUUGAACCCUUGGUUCAAACCAACUUCAUUUAAUAUGAUUGCUAGUUGCAUUAGCUCAAUCAACAGCAUAUUGCCAUGACAUUAUCAUGCAUCAUAAUUGUUGCAUUGCAUUGAUUGUGUUCCUCUUUGUUUGCCGGCAUUUGUCCCCUCUCGAUAGACGUGGUUCCGACGAUGAGUUCGAUGACACCGAUGAAGAACUAUACUAUCUUCAGAAGUGUUAGGCAAGCAAAAACCCCUUGUUCAUUCUGAUACAAUCCCACUCUCUCGCUCCUGCUCUCCUUUACUGCAUUAGGACAACAACGAUUCAACUGUUACAUGCUGCGGUAGUUGAACCCCUUUCCUUUGCAUGACCUGUCAUUGCCACAGUAAAUAGAUGAAACCCACUAGCAUGAGUAGGAGUUGUUUGAGCCCUGAUGUGCCUACUCAUUCAUGUUUGCUUGUCAUGCCUGCUAUUUCUUAGAGUUGUGUCAGGUCUGAUUCAUCGGGGAUGAAUUGGAAAGUUGUGAACAUGUCCUACUGUGUGUGAGCUAAGUGUGUGAACACGAUUUGGUAAAGGUAGCGGUGAGAGGCCAUGUAGGAGUACAUGGUGGGUUAUCUCAUUGAAACCGUUCUCAGGAACUGAGUUCUGUGUUUGUGAUCCAUGAAACAGCUACUACCACACAUUGGGCCCUGAAAUAUGACCCCUCUCGACUUACUGACCCCUCUCGUCCUCUGUCCAGGAGUUGCAACUAGUUUCUGGUGUUUAUAGGAUAUGUGUUGGCGGUCGUGCGUAGCGCUGACCCUAGGGGUGGGCUAUGAUGCGGUAGAUACACCAUGGCACAGUGUACUGGGCACCCGUUUGGUGUCUUGGGAACCCUGCACACAUCGUUUGGAGCUGUGAGCGAAACUCCGGCCGGAUCUCCUCACGGAUGGAACCCGAAUAGGCGAUAAACAUGGACUAGAGACUUGUGCGGUUAGUUAGGUCAUGGUCUACACCCACGUCGGCUUUCACUUGAAGUCUGCCGAGCACAUGUCGUGUGCAGACGCUAAGUGGUGGAAACAUGUGUGACGAAGUACACCCCUGCAGGGUAUAAAACUAUUCGAAUAGCCGCGUCCGCAGUAAAGGACUUCUGGGUUGCCGAUAACAGUUCAUAGACAAGUGAAAAUGGAUACUCUAAAACUCGCAAGAUAAGUGUGAGUGCUAUGGAUGGCCUUCUCGUAGGGAGACGGGAGCGGAUCCAUAGUGGUGUAUUGAAUGGCGAAUAUGUGGACUUGUGUGCGCCACCUCAAAAGAGUUACUUGUAGUCGUAGUUUAAGAUAGCCACCGAGUCAAAGGUGGCUUGCUGUAGUUAAACUCCACCACCCCUCUUUGUUGAUACCGAUGCAUAUGUAGCUAGUUCUGAUGUAAGUCUUGCCGAGUACUUUUGUACUCACGUUUGCUUAAUUUAUGUUUUGCAGAGAGACUUCAGUCUCGCUAGUAGUUUCGCGUGGACUUCGACGUUUAGCUUGAUACCUCAGCUAUGAUCUUGUGCCCUCGGCAGGAUCUGGUAGAUAGUCAGGCUUCUCAGCCUUUUUCAUUUGUAGAUGUUUGUACUCAGACAUGUUAAGCUUCCGCAUGUGCUUUGAUUUGUAUGCUAUGAUUGUUGGGUCAUGAGACCCAUGUUUGUAAUAUCUCGCUCCUCGGAGCCUAAUGAAUAAUACUUGAGUCGUAGAGUUAUGUUGUGAUGCCAUGUUGUAUUUACACAUAUCGAGCAUAUUGUGUGUAUGAUUGAAAUGCUUGGUAUGUGUGGGAUCCGACAAUCUAGUUGUUUAUCCUUGGCAGCCUCUCUUAUGGGGAAAUGUAGUCUAGUGCUUCCAUGAGCCAUAGUAGUCCGCUACAGCCCGGUUCAACGGAGUCCGGCUAGCCCAACACUACUGCUCAGGACACUUGACUGGUCGGCAUGUGUUUCACUUCAUUCCUGUGUCUGUCCCUACGGGGAAAUGUCACGCGGUGACAUCCGGAGUCCUGUUAGCCCAGUGCUAUAGCCCGGAUUCACACGCUGCUGACCGACAUGCUCGAUGUGAUUCAUGUAUGCCUGUCCCCAUAGGUUGGUGCCGCUUUGGGUUCACGACUAGCCAUGUCAGCCCAGGUUCUCUGUCAUAUGGAUGCUAGCGACACUAUCAUAUACGUGAGCCAAAAGGCGCAAACGGUCCCGGUCCAUGGUAAGGCGACUCCCUUGGGAAUACCAUGCGUGAGGCCACAAAGUGAUAUGAGGUGUUACCGGCUAGAUCGAUGUGACUUGGAAUCGGGGUCCUGAAAGUGCACGAUUUUAAUUUUUUUACUGGAACGUCAAACGGUUCUGAAACUUCUUGCACUGUAUUUAUAUACAAUUUUUUUAUUUUCCCUAAUUUUGACAGAAUUUUUGGAGUACCAAAAGUAUGGUGAAUGUUCAAAUUACUACAGACUGUCAUGUUUAAGACAUAUUCUGUUUUUGAUGCAUAGUUUAUUUGUUUUGAUGAAACUAUCAAUUUCUAUCAGUGGAUUAAGCCAUGGAAAAGUUAUAUUACAGUAGCUACAAUGAAAAAACAAAAUAUGAAUUGGUUCGCAAUAGUACUUAGAGUAGUGAUUUGCUUUAUUAUACUAACGGAUCUUACCGAACUUUUUGUUAAGUUUUGUGUGAUUGAAAUUUUCAAGUUUUGGGAGAGAUCACAAUGGAUGAAGGAAUAAGGAGUUGCAAGAGCAUAAGCUUGGGGAUGACCGAGGCACCCUGAGGAAAUAUUCAAGGACUCCUAAGCAACCAAGCUUGGGGAUUCCCCGAAAGGCAUCCCCUCUUUCUUCUAACAAUCAUCGGUAAUUUUACUUGGAGUUAUAUUUUUAUUCGUCACAUGAUAUGCGUAAAUCUUGGAGCGUCUUUUGCAUUUAGUUUUCACUUUUCUUUUAUGCACCAUGCCGGUAUGAGAUAGUCCUUGGUUGAUUUAUAUAAUUCUCACUGCCCUUCACUUAUAUCUUUUGAGUAUGGCUUUAUAGAAUGCUUCAUGUGCUUCACUUAUAUCAUUUGAAGUUUUGAUUGCCUGUUUCUCUUCACAUAGAAAAUCGUCAUUUUUAGAAUGCUCUUUUGCUUCACUUAUAUUUGUUAGAGCGUGGGCAUAUCUUUUGUAGAAAGAAUUAAACUCUCUUGCUUCGCUUAUAUCCAUUUAGAGAGAUGAAAGGAAUUGGUCAUUCACAUGGUUAGUCAUAAAAUCCUACAUAAAACUUGUAGAUCACUGAAUAUGAUGUGUUUGAUUCCUUGCAAUAGUUUUGCGAUAUAAAGAUGGUGAUAUUAGAGUCAUGCUAGUGGGUAGUUAUGGAUAUUCUCGUAGCAUGCAUGUAUGGUGAACCGUUAUGUGACGAAGUUGGAGCAUGAGGUAUUUAUUGAUUGUCUUCCUUAUGAGUGGUGGUCGGGGACGAGCGAUGGUCUUUUCCUACCAAUAUAUACCCCUAGGAGCAUGCGGGUAGUACUUUGUUUCGAUGACUAAUAGAUUUUUGCAAUAAGUAUGUGAGUUCUUUAUGACUAAUGUUGAGUCCAUGGAUUAUACACACUCUCACCCUUCCAUCAUUGCUAGCCUCUUCGGUACCGUGCAUUGCCCUUUCUCAUCUCAAGAGUUGGUGCAAACUUCGCCGGUGCAUCCAAACCCCGUGAUACGAUACGCUCUAUCACACAUAAGCCUCAUUAUAUCUUCCUCAAAACAGCCACCAUACCUACCUAUCAUGGCAUUUUCAUAGCCAUUCCGAGAUAUAUUGCCAUGCAACUUCCAUCAUCAUCAUAUACAUGACUUGAGCAUUUAUUGUCAUAUUUCUUUGCAUGAUCGUAAGAUAGCUAGCAUGAUGUUUUCAUGGCUUGUCCGUUUUUUCAUGUCAUUGCUAUGCUAGAUCAUUGCACAUCCCGGUACACCGCCGGAGACAUUCAUAUAGAGUCAUAUCUUUGUUCUAGUAUCGAGUUGUAAUAUUGAGUUGUAUGUAAAUAAAAGUGUGAUGAUCAUCAUUAUUAGAACAUUGCCCCAUGAUCAAAAUAAAAGUGGCCGAAAAAGCCCCCCCACAAAAGAUAGAGGCCAAGAAGCCUAAAAAAGAAAAAGAAAUGAAAAAAGAGAAGGGACAAUGUAACUAUCCUUUUACCACACUUGUGCUUCAAAGUAGUACCAUGUUCUUCAUAUAGAGAGUCUCUUGAGUUAUCACUUUCAUAUACCAGUGGGAAUUUUCAUUGUAGAACUUGGCUUGUAUAUUCCGAUGAUGGGCUUCCUCAAAUGCCCGAGGUCUUCAUGAGCAAGCAAGUUGGAUGCACACCCACUUAGUUUCAGUUUGAGCUUUCAUACACUUAUAGCUCUUAGUGCAUCCGUUGCAUGGCAAUCCCUACUCCUCGCAUUGGCAUCAAUUGAUGGGCAUCUCCAUAGCCCGUUGAUUAGCCGCGUCGAUGUGAGACUUUCUCCUUUUUUGUCUUCUCCACACAACCUCCAUCAUCACAUUCUAUUCCACCUAUAGUGCUAUGUCCAUGGCUCACGCUUAUGUAUUGCGUGAAAGUUGAAAAUAUUUGAGAACAUCAAAAAUAUGAAACAAUUGCUUGGCUUGUCAUCGGGGUUGUGCCUGAUUUGAAUAUUUUGUGUGAUGAAGAUGGAGCAUAGCCAGACUAUAUGAUUGUAUAGGGAUAACUUUCUUUGGCCAUGUUAUUUUGAAAAGACAUGAUUGCUUUAUUAGUAUGCUUGAAGUAUAAUUGUCUUAAUGUCAAAUGAUAGACUAUUGCUUUGAAUCACUCAUGUCUUAAUAUUCAUGCCAUGAUUAAAUUACAUGAUCAAGAUUAUGCUAGGUAACAUUUCACAUCAAAAAUUAUCUUUUUUAUCAUUUACCUACUCGAGGACGAGUAGGAAUUAAGCUUGGGGAUGUUGUUACAUCUCCGUUGUAUCUAUAAUUUUUGAUUGUUCUAUGCCAAUAUUAUACAACUUUCAUAUACUUUUGGCAACUUUUUAUAUUAUUUUUGGGACUAACAUAUUGAUCUAGUGCCCAGUGACAAUUUCUGUUUGUUGCAUGUUUUCUGUUUCGUAGAAAAUCCAUAUCAAACGGAGUCCAAACGGGAUAAAAACUGACGGAGAUUUUUUUUGAAAUAUAUGCGAUUUUUGGGAAGAAGAAUCAACGCGAGACAAUGACCGAGGGGGGCACGAGGCAGGGGGCACGCCCUGGGCCCUUGUGGCCACCCCGUAAGGCGCUUGGUGCCCUUCUUUCGCCUCAAGAAAGCUAAUAUCCGGAUAAAAUCGUGUCCAAAAUUCAGCCCAAUCGGAGUUACGGAUCUCUGGGAAUUUAAGAAACGGUGAAAGGGCAGAAUCUGAAACACAGAAACAGAGAGACAGAGAGACAGAUCCAAUCUCGGAGGGGCUCUCGCCCCUCCGCCGCCAUGGAGGCCAUGGACCAGAGGGAAACCCUUCUUCCAUCUAGGGGGAGGUCAAGGAAGAAAAAGAAUAAGGGGGGCUCUCUCCCCCUCCCUCCCGAUGGCGCUGGAACGCCGCCGGGGCCAUCAUCAUUACCGCAAUCUACACCAAUAACUUCACCGUCAUCAUCACCAACUCUUCCCCCCUCUAUGCAUCGGUGUAAUCCCUCUUUUACUCAUUGUAAUCUUUACUUAAACAUGGUGCUCAACGCUAUAUAUUAUUUCCCAAUGAUGUAUGGCUAUCCUAUGAUGUUUGAGUAGAUUGUCCUAUGGGUUAAUUGAUGAUCGUGAUUGGUUUGACUUGCAUGUUUCAUUAUUAGUGAUGUCCUAUGGUGCUCUCCGUGUCGCACAAGCAUGAGGGAUCCCCGCUGUAGCGUUUGCAAUAUGUUCAUGAUUUGCUUAUGAUGGGUGGCGUGAGUGAUAGAAGCACAGACCUGAGUAAGUAGGUUGUUUGUGUAUGGGAGUAAAGAGGACUUGAUGCCUUAUAAUGCUAUGGUUGGGUUUUACCUUAAUGAUCUUUAGUAGUUGCAGAUGCUUGCUAGAGUUCCAAUCAUAAGUGCAUAUGAUCCAAGAAGAGAAAGUAUGUUAACUUAUGCUUCUCCCUCAAAUAAAAUUGUAAUAAUGAUUACCGGUUUAGUUAUCGAUUGCCUAGGGACAAAUAACUUUUUUAUAUGACAACAAGCUCUUUAAUAAACCUAACUUAGUUGUGUCUUUAUCUAAACAACCCCUACUUUUUAUUUACGCGCUCUUUAGUAUCUUUCAAAACUAUCCAACAACACCUACAAAGUACUUCGAGUUUCAUACUUGUUCUAGGUAAAGCGAACGUCAAGCGUGCGUAGAGUUGUAUCGAUGGUCGAUAGAACUUGAGGGAAUAUUUAUUCUACCUCUAGCUCCUCAUUGGGUUCGACACUCUUACUUAUCGAAAAAGGCUACAAUUGAUCCCCUAUACUUGUGGGUUAUUAGGGUGCGGCUGGAGGGGGAAGGGGGCGGAUAGAAAAAGGAACCCCUGUACCACCGACGGUCGUGUGAUAGCCUGGCUUAUUAGGGAUGAUAGACUACUCAUAUUUUCGGGAGCCCAUUCGAACAGAACUUCAAAGUUAAGCGUGCUCAGCUUGAAGUAGUUUCAGGAUGGAUGACCGACUGGGAAGUUACUUUCGGGUGCGCACGAAUGAGGACAAAGUGCACAGAAUAGACUAGUAUUGAUCUGUAGGGCCUGUCUAGAUCCCGCUAGGAGUAACGACCACCGACGAGUGUGUUCAGGGCAUUACAAAUUGAUAUCAGAGCCGAUCCUCGCGGUUACACGGAUGUUUACAGACAGAUGCGCGGUCAUGUUAUGCAUGACGCUUGUGACCCAUCGGAGCACAUGGCAUGGCACAUGUGCCGGACAGGAAGCACAAACAUUUGUGUCAAGAGAGAACGUUUAUGUGGCCUGACGAGGACGUCGGUUUUUUUUUUGAGUGGGGGUGUAUACGUUUAUGUCAAGAGAGAACGUUUAUGUGGCCCGACGAGGACGCCGGUUUCUCUGAGUGGGGGUGUAUGUGAUAGCAUGACUUAUUAGGGAUGAUAGACUACUCAUAUCAAUAAUGAAUUCUUUCUUUUCUGAGAGUUCAUUUGGACAUAACUUUAAAGUUAAGCGUGUUCAGUUUGGAGUAGUUUCGAGAUGAGCGAUCGACCGGGAAGUUACUCUUAGGUGCGCACGAGUGAGGACAAAGUACACAGAAAAUACUAAUAUUGAUUUGUGAACCAGUCUAGAUCCCGCUAGAAGUAACGACUACCGACAGAUAUGUCCGAGGCGUUACAGGGCGAGCAAAGGCAAAGGAAAGACAAACACACACGGCCCGCCCUUUCGUGCGCUGUCCAUUACGCUGCAAAAACGACCCAAGUUUGAGUCGGGAGUGAGUCAAAGGUGGACAAAAAUGCACAUCCCUGCGUUGGAUAGUCACGACCCAAGUUUGAGUCGAAAAUGAGUCAAAAGUGAACAAAAAUGCACAUUCCUGCGUUGGAUAGUCUGGUAUGUCAUUUUACCUUAAACGGACGCCUCCAAACAAAUUGGGGUCACGUGCUGGAGUUGGCCUAAGGACAGCCUCCGCCACCUAAGGACAGCCUUCGCCGAUGCGGCGGAGAGGCUUGCCAUGCAUCUCGACGGAUGCACCAGCCUACGCCCUCCGGCGAUGGGGGCGAGGGAAGGAGCGGCGACCGCGAUUAGUUUUUUUCCCUCGUUAACCUUUUUUGGUAAUUGUUCAGUUAACUUUUUUUUUUGAGAAACCCAAGAAAUUGUUCAGUUAACUGGGCGGGAAGGAAAUAGCUGACGCCCGGACCAGAUCGUCCUCGGCUGUCACCUAGCCCACUAAUGAACUAGUACUACGUGGAUUGGACUGUGAAUGAAGAUGCCAUCGCUGGCCUGAAGCCCAUCUAAAUGAGCCUGGUAUAGAACAAAUCGCCCACAAACACGAUCUUAAAAUGGAAGGUACCCUAAAAAAAUCUGAAACUUCCCACCAAACCGCCGACGCCAAUCUGAACCUAAGGCUCGUAGCAUAAGUUCAUUUCUGGUCAGCAAGCUGCAAAACCUUGUUUAGAAACGUGACGGAUUAUUUCAUCUUCGUUGAGUUUCAUCAUCGAGAAGUGCCUUCAUAAUAUACUCCCUUCAUGGCCGGCUUCAUCUUAGGCAGCGCUUUCUCGACGGGGUGGGCCAUUCUUGGGCUUUGGUAACGCUUUCAAGGACGUGUUGUAGUGUGUUAAUUCUUUUUCUUUGAAUGUGUCUUCUUUAGACUGGCCAUAUUGUACUUGGAACGGUAGUAAAGUAAUUUCAUGAACAAUUGUAAGUAAUUGGUACUCUCUCGACUACAUAACGAGUACAUAGGAAUGAGCGUGCGUACAUAGGAAUGAAUCUGUGAUUAAAAAAAUACUACUAUACAUCGUUUAUUGAAUAGAAGUUAGUGUGGAGUUUUCGCAGACACGGCCACUAUUUAUUUAUCAACUCAUAUAUCCGGGGAUCAUUGGCUACAGAACGUACAUACAUGCCAAAAUUUUGCAGCCAGGGUACAUGGAUUACGAUCGAGCUACAUAUAUAGAGGGGCUACGGCGGCUACAAUCCAGGGACCAAAAUUUUGUAGCCAGCCGUACGUACGCCAUGUCCGUGCGAGCACGAAGACAUGCAUGCAUCAACGCUACUACGUAAGCUGCAUCCUUCAACCUAGCCUACUACCACGUACACCCAUAGCACUACGUACUAACUUACAGUACAUCCACACGUACGAUAUAUAUAUAUAUAUAGGAGGGCCGGCCUGUGAGGCCGUACAUCGUCUACCUCGCUCGAUCAU